RNAcentral lists this long non-coding RNA (75541 nucleotides) under Citrus sinensis (sweet orange). RNAcentral's name for it is "long non-coding RNA (CSIN_LNC001895)". The record is from RNAcentral. Lineage: Eukaryota; Viridiplantae; Streptophyta; Magnoliopsida; Sapindales; Rutaceae.
UUUUUUUUUUUUUUUGCCUUUUAGCAAAUUCCCCCCCGCGCCCCCUUUUUUUGUUUCUGUGAAGUGAUUUUGUUGUUGUUGUUGUUGCUGUUUGUUAGGUGUUUAGGCCGUUAUUGAAUGUAACAGCUGAGUUUUCGGCAGAGGAGUUCGAGACGGCGUUGAUCACUCCUAAUGAUACUUUAAGUGAUAUUCAUAUACCCAUUUUAAAGGUUGGUGCUUUUGGCUUUGCAUUAAAGUUUGUGUUUUUACUUUCAGUUCCGUUUUAGUUUCUAGUUCGAAUUUAGCCUUUUUGGUCAUCAAUUCAGUUCUUAGCGGGGCAAUGCCUGUACAUCUAGUCCUAUUUGCCAUUUUUUCAACUAAAUAAGAGGAAUGUACUUGCAAGGUUUAGUGCUUAAUUGUAGUUUUUGCGAUGCUUUUGUUGAUAUUUGGUGUAGCCUGUUCUUCAGACUUUUAAGUGAGAGGAACAGCAAAGAACACUACAGUUGUACUUGUUGAUGUAUCAUGGGUUUUUUUUUAGCAGAGAAUUAGCUCAUAAUGUAAUGUUGUGAUGUGAAAAAGGCAAUGGGAAUGUGAUUAUCAUUUGGUGAUGCUUUUUCCAUAUUCAUAUGAUGAAUGUUAAAAACUGUCGAUUGGAUAUUGAAUGUUAUGUUUGUAACUAGUAAUUUUCUCUCAAAACAAAGAAUCCAAAUACAGAUGCUUGAGUAUUUGGCAAUGAUUUUUAGGGUUCAAUACAACUAUACUAUUCAUCUGUCUAUUGCAUUGAUUGGUUACCACAGUGCAGAUAGAACUCCAUGACAUUGUAUGAGCAAUGAGCUAUGUUUGUCUGUCUUAUGAUUACAAAUUGUGCAAUGUGUUCCAUGAGUACAUUUUGUAGAUUUUGAGUCUCAAACAUUAAGUUCCUAGUUUUUGAAAUUUUGCCUUCUAUGGCAUGUACUACAAGGGCAUUUGAAUUUUGAAAGAAAAGUACAUCAAUUAAUCCUUUUCUGCUAUAGAGGACAAAAAUGAAUGGAAUUUAGAUUUAGAGCAAUAUAUAAAGAAGAUUUUUGUAGAGUGUGCAAAAGAGCUUUGGGUUUCUCUCACAUUGAAGCACAUUUAAAUUAGUGUAAGCAGACUUUUAAUGUUGAAAAAUCGAUUUUCAUUAAUAGUGUCCAUGAGGUUUGAUGUCUGCCUUUGUUAGUAGUCAAAUAAUGAAAACUUACUGUAGGAAAUUUUCCCUCUUCCUGGGAAGAGCUGAGAACAGAAAACCAUUUGGAAGGUUUUAUUGUAUGAUGUAUGAUUUUUCUUAAGAUGAAUUUGCAAAACUUACAGUUGUUUCCGCUUGUGUUUCUAUUCUAUGAGCCUCUUUGCCUUUGUAUAUUUAGUCACACAAUUUUGGCAUAUUGAUAAUUCAAAAUGAGAAACUUGAUUACUUGUCUGAUUUUUAGUGCCACUCAAACUUAGCCGCUGUUCUGGUCUUUCAGACCGUUUUAAGCAGUAAUGGGGAUAGUUUUCACUUGUAUAAUAGUGAGAAGCACUGGAGGUGCUCUGUUUCGAAGUUUCUCCUGUUGCUGCCUGGGCUCUUGCUCCCUGUCUUUUUUCCCCUUUCUUCUCUCUGAAGGAUGGGCUUCAACCUGAUAGUUGAGAGUUUGGACGAGAGAGUUUUCAUCUCUGAAGGAGUUAAAAGAUAAUGAGUGAUGCUGGUGAAAUUAUUAUUAUUUUAAAUUUCUCACUGCUGUUUUAGUUCAUAGACCUUGAGGUUUUGAAUAUAACCUCUAUCUGUUAAAUCUGAUUGAUGUUUUCAAAAGAUUUAAGGGAUGUUUACUUGGGAUAUGAUUUUCCUUUUAAUUAACAUUUUCCUUGAUUUUGUAAUGCGCUCUGACAUGUUCAUGGAACGUUGUUUAGAAAUUCAACAUUUUUUUAAUGGUACUUAUCACUUGCGAAUUUAAGUGCUAUUGCUUAUUUGUUUUAGUUUUCCUUGUUAUAGGCAAUCCCUCCUAUUACACGAAUGGCCCUUACACGUGAUACCUGGGUUACUGUUUUAUGCAGAAAAUUAAGAGACUGGUGGCACUGGGUAACUUGGUUAUUGAACCCUUAUCAACUGAUGCGUCAUACAUAAUAAGGUCAUUGCUAACAUAGGCUUAUAAUCUUAUUGUAGGUUGCAGAAGGGGAUCUUCCUAUUGUUGCUUCGCAUGGGUGAGUUUUUGCAUCUUUGAAGCACUUUACUAUAUGAUUAUCUCUGUGUUGCUAAUGUUGCAUGUUCAUGCUAAUUUCUUAGGACGGAGGUUGAAGUAUAUAAAACACUUGAUCCUGGGGUCCGUGUGGUUAUCUUGAAGGCACUUUGUGAUAUUCGUGUUGAGGUAUUACUCUUGUUAGUGAAAAAUACGUUGUACUCUGCAAUUGGGUAGUUGACUGUUUGGCACAUUAGGAUCCGACUCUUUUGUCCUCUGUACUACACCUUGAAACCUGUUGUGCUUAUUUGUCCAUCAUCAUACAUGAAACUUAAAUCAUAAUUUUGUUGAAUUAGUCUGCACAAAAACAUAGCUCAUCCAAUAAAGCCUUCAUUCCAACUGCUUAAAGUUAGAUUGUGAAUCUUUUGACUCUGUUCAACUGUAUCAUCUAUCAAGAACCCUAUUAAAUUAUUGGCCAUAUUAUGUUGCUGCUAUUCAUAUAUAUGUAUGAAUAGGCCGUGAUUUUAAUUUUGGUAACGAUGCCCUCCUAUUUUGUCAACAUAGUCUCUAGUGUCUACUAUGUACAAACAACAUAUACUGUGGUACUUCUUUCUCGGUUUUCUUUGUAAGUUGAACAUAAGAAACAUAAUCUUUGGUGAUAGAGGCUACACAUUGAUUUUAAAAGUCAGUUGUGAAAUCUAAUGUCAUAUGAUGGUACCAAGUUAUAAAUUCGAUAUAAAUUUCUUUUGCUUCCUCUAAAACCUUUCUGUAAAUUAACUAAGCAAGUAAUAGCUAUAUGAACAAUCUUUAUCACCAUCCUAAUCAGUUGAUUUCUGCAGCAAGAAGAUAUCCGGAACUAUAUUGACAACUCGCUUAAACAUGGUGUUCAACUUUCGGCAUUUCGUAAAGAACGUGUUGGGGGUGAUUCAUAUGGAAUUAAUUACUGGUAACAUAACUAAGUUUUUCAUAAGGAUCCAUUAAUGAUUUUGGCAAUUUCUACUUUCAAAUUGACUGAAUAAUGUCUCAUGUUAUCAGUAGAUGAUUUUUUUGGUAUGUGAAAAUGAUGUAUGGUAUUAGUAAUUUGGUGCAGGUAUGAAGAUGAUCCAGUAGUAGGCCAUCGGUUGUACAGAGAGAUAAGAAAAGUUGAGGUGAAGAAAGUGAAAGCCAAGGGUUCCAAUGUCCUUCCUAUUGCUACAUACCAGUGGGAAACAGUUGCAACUAAUUUGGAAGAAUUUCAAGAUGUUUCUGUACGUGUGUAUAUUUCUGUCCAUGUGUAAAGUGGACUUUUUUCGCUUCUCUGUGUUGUGAGAUCUAAGAAUGUCAAAUAUGGUCAAUUACCUGAUAUUGCGAGAGGACAUGCAGGGCUAUAUAUAUAUGUGUGUGUGUGUGUGUGUAUGUAUUUUCCAAGAUGGUUUUAUCUGUCCUACACUAAAUUUUUGGUACUGCUCCUACAGGAAAAGCUUUUCUCUAGCAAAAAUAGAACCGAGGCAUCCCUUGGGAAGAAGUUAAAGAAUGACAUGCUUCCAGAAAUUGAGAAGGAACAUAAGGUACUUAAAACUGCCUUUUUCCAGGUUCCAUAAGCCCUGUUAUGGGGCUGUAGUUGUGUUUUUUUUAACUAGCUGAAAAAAGGAUUGCCUCAUCUUUUCACUGGCAUUUUGUGAUGUUUCUCAGUUGUGUGGUCUCUGUGAUGUUUCAGUAAAUAAUGCUAUCCCAUUUGCUGUUUUUAUGUUCUCAGAGGAAAGAGAAAUUACUGAAAAAGCAGCACAGACAAGCUCUGCUUCUUGAUAACUUCAUAAAUGUCGAUGGGCUUGGUCCCGGACGCUCCCUUCGUGACAGAAAACCUGUCACUUAUACUUUUGGUGAGAAGAACAAAAUCUAUUUAUCAAUCUUCUCAAUAUCUUGUUCUGCUUCCUGUUAAUGAGAGCCCCCAAGUUUAGGGAUUAUGGAUUGAAGGAAUUCUGACAUGUCAAAACAUUUUUGCAGACGAUUAUGACCGAUCAAUCAAUGAGGCUAUCAAGAUAACCAAGUAUGGAGAUUUUCCCUGAAUCCUUGUUUUUGGGUUUACAUUCUAUAUAGCUUGUUGGGAGGGGGAAAAAUGUAUGUUUGGACAAUAUUCUGUUGUUUGAUGUCCUUGUUCUCUACUUUUGUAUCAGGCGGAAGCCAUCAUCCCCAGAGCCUAAUCUAAGAAGAGAAGUCGGUUUCAAAUCUGAAGCUUCCAUGAAUGGUAAAUGGAGUGAUUCUAUGCAUGCCUCUGAACAUGUCACAUUCAAUGCGCUGUCCCCUAAUUCACUUGAUUAUGAUGAGUUUGAUGAAGAGCGUAAACCUGAAUCAUUGGACCGAAGGUAAGAUAAGUUUGUGUUAUUUUCAUUGCCUUGAGACUUUUAAGAAAUUAACCAUGACAUAAAUUAUAAAAGGAAUUAACCAUGACAUAAAUUAUGUUUAGCAAUCGGCGAAGACAGAGGCCUCAACGAUAUUCAGUCAAAGAGUUCGUUGAAGCUGUUUCAGAUAAUGAUGCAGAUUUUGACAGUGAUGAUGAUAUAGUUGGAGAAGUUGUAUAUGAUGAGGAAUAUCUGAGGAAACGUAAACAGAGAAAGCUUUCCAGCAGCUCGGAAGGAGAUGAGGAAUACCAUUGGGAUGAAGAAAAUGCUGAAGAUGAGGAAGAUGAAGAAGAAGAAGAUUCCUUGAGUAUCAGUGAGGACAGUGAUGAGCCUCAAAAGGUUAAGAAAUUGCCAGGCCGUACUCGGAGGGAAACUAAAUUGAGGUCAGUAGAUGAGUUGCAGUCAGGUCUAAGACGCAGUAAAAGGGCCUCCAGAAACCGCAUUAAUUACCGACAGUAUGAGUUGUCUGAAUCAGAUACAGAGUCGGCAAAGCCCAAUAAGUCCAGUGAAUCAGAUAAACAAUCAGAUGCAAGUGAGAACGCAGAAUAUUCAAUGGGUAGUCAAGAGUCAGAUGGCAAUGAUGAUGACCAGGAGAUAAAAGUUGAUCAACCAGUUGAAGGUUAUGCCGAGACAGUUGAGAAAGAAGAGCAAAGUCAGCCACCAGAGAAACCAAAUAGCCCAGGCCAAACAGAAGUUGAAGGAGUGAAAAAGAGACGUUUCCUUGACCUAAAUGAGCUUGCCCCGGGUUCUGGUUUUGAUGAUGGUCCAAACUCGAUAAAAGAUGAUGAUACAGGUGAUUUAUAGAGCUAUCCCAUAUGCUGGAAAGCAAGAGCAGUAGUUCUGUCUCGGGGAAGCUUAGUGUACGAUAGUAAGAGCUAUAAAUUUUGGAUUAAGCUUAUCGUGGAAGUUACAAUCAGAGCCCUUCCAUGGCUUAAUAUAAGCAACUCCCUUGAUGCAAUUAAUUCCAAAAUUUGCUGUGGGGAGCAACAGAAUGCUGAGAGCUAUGUAGAUUAGGUAGUCAUUUUUUAGUAUGUCUACAUUCAAAGAAACCUACGACAGGUGGAUGGGUAUUAGUUGAGAGUUAUUUAGCUUAUCCCAUUAAUGUACAAUAACCUUUAACUAAUGUUGUAACUGAUAAAUUUGGCUUUUAGAUGUUCAAGCGCCGUAGUUUAUAUUUCAUGAUCAUGAGUAUGAUCUGCCUCUUGAGCAUUUGGGUUGGUUGGGCCUGUUGGUAACAUAUUGAGCUUACAAAUGUUAUCUUUGUUGUAACUGAACCAUCCUCCCGCAAAUGGCAACAACUGUUUCUCUUACUAUUCUUCUACUCUUUCAAUUGCACUCAACUAUGUGUUCUAUAUAUCGAAGUGUUGCAUUGCUCUGUUUUCAUGUGGGUUCACUAAAUUGUUUUAAUAUGUUGAUGAAACAGCUUUUUUUUUUUGGCACUAAUCAAAUAGGUUAAGUAGUAGUAUUAUUAUUACACAACUCAUUCCAAUAUGAUGUUCAGUCCACUAUUAACAUAGACAUAUUCCUCGUAAAAAUUUCGUAGAAAAAUUAUUCCUAAAGAUAGCCGAUUUCAUGAGUCACAAUAAUUAUUGCUUUUCAACUCUGUUUUUUGGGUCGGCAUCAUUUUCCUUGCUCUGCUCCUCUCUUGACUCCUCAGCUUGCUUCCUUUCUUCCUCAGCUUGCUUCCUUUCUGCUUCUUCCUUCCCUUCCUUGAGAGCUUGAAUCAAGCUUGAAAGGCAUUUCUCUACAUUGUCAGAUGGAGAUUUAGGCAUCAGAUUCUCAGCAACAUCGGCAGGUGUGAUCUUGGUAUCUUCCAUCAGCUUUUGAAUUGUUUCAAACAAUGUAUGAGUUUCCACAUUCAGAUAAUUCUUCGCAAGCACUUUGAAUCCCUGGAAUGUGCAGUAAGAGAGCUCUAUAUGUUUAUCCAUCCUGCCUCUUCUAAUCAAAGCUGGAUCAAGCUUCUCCACAUAAUUGGUGGUGAAAACAAUCAGCCUCUCCCCUCCACAAGCCGACCAUAGUCCAUCAAUAAAAUUCAGUAACCCUGAUAAAGUAACUUUGCUGCUGCCCUCUUCCUUUGGUUCCUUGCGCGAAAUCUCCUUAUCCAGCUUUUCUUUCUCAUCAUCCGACGACUUCUCAGCUUUCUUCUUCCUCUGACCUGUUAGUUCAAGCGAACAAUCUAUAUCUUCAAUCACAAUAAUUGACUUACUAGUCGUCUCAAUCAAAAGCUUCCUGAGCUCUGUAUUGUCCUUAACAGCUGUGAGCUCAAGAUCAUAAACAUCAUAAUUCAACAAAUUUGCCAUGGCAGCAAUCAUAGUAGACUUGCCAGUUCCUGGAGGACCAUAAAGAAGAUACCCUCUUUUCCAAGCCUUCCCAAUCCUUGCAUAAAAAUCUCUACUUUUGCUGAAAGUAACAAGAUCUUCAAUAAUCUCCAGCUUCUUCUCUGGCUCCAACGCCAUUGUCUCAAACGUUGCAGGAUGCUCAAACACAAUGUGACUCCACAUAGUUUGCUUGUAACUUGGCCACUUGUAACCAGGACUGUUUGUGUAAAGCUUCCUCUGCCGAUUUCUCACUCUGAUUUCUUUCCCUUCCUUCACUACAUGCUGCAAAUAAGACUCAGUUAUGAUCUCCCUAUACCGCUUAUGAAAUGUGAGCCUGUAGUAUCUCUUCUCCUGCUCAGGAUAAUAUGACAUGCCCCUCGUUGUUGACACGACUUUGCUUGAAACCCACCAAACUUUUACCCCGCGGAACUCGUCAGUAACUCUCUCAUACUCAUCCAUGCUAAGCACCAAGUUGCUGCUGUCUUUGCCCAUCUCAGCCUUGAGUCUUUUAGCACUCUUGGAUGAGUUGACGCUAAGAUAAGCCUCAACAGCAGCAUAAGCCUCGCUGCGCUUGAGGCGAUCACCCGUGAAUUCAUGGAUUGAAAUCUUGAUGUAAGGAUAAAAGAACCCCAUGAUUCUGUGCGUAUACUUUUCAAAGUGGCGGCGAACUUCAUAUGGGCAAUACUGGCGAAUGAUAGCCCACACAAACAUGAAACUUGCUAUUGUCGAACCCAUUGCUGCCAACAUCUCAGUCACUGUCGCUGGCACCAUCUUUCUUUGUUUUACAGUUGCUUUUACUCAGGCCAGGCCAAGCUAAGCGAAAAGAGUAUUGUAUUUGUGAUAAAGCUUUGUGAAUUGUGCUUCUUUUAUUCUGUUUGUUAGGCCUUCGAAUCAUAACAUUGUUAGUCCCUUAAAUAAAGUGAAGAAAGAGAAAACAGAGUAGGUAAGAGUAGAGAAUUGAGUCAUUACUAAACACCGCUUUUUAUGGACACAAGUGAUAUACGGGGAAAUUACCAUUUUCUCACUAUAAAUGUUUAAAAGGCUAAAAAUAUUAUAAAACUUUUAAAUCUAUCAAUUUUUUUAAUAUUGAUUACGCAUCAAAUUACUGUACAGCGGACCAUUACAUUGAUAUUUACAAUUAGAUAUAUGAUUGAGAUUUAUAUUAUUAAAUUAAAUUUUAUAAAGUCAAUUUUUUUAAUAUUGAUUACGCAUCAUAUUAUUGUACAGCAGACCAUUACACUGAUAUUUACAAUUAGAUAUAUAACUGAUAUUUAUAUUAUUAAAUUAAAUUUUAUAAAAUACAUGUCCAGAAAAAUAACUCUCACACACGAGCGAUGUCUCUACUCCACUAGCAUUUCACAAAGAAGAAAGAUUUUUAAAUUAACUUCACACAAUUAUGCAUAAUUAAGUAUAAAGUCGGGUCGGUCUUAGACAUCACUUGAUAAAUUUGGAAUCUGAAUUUUAUUAAAAAAUAUUUAUUAUUUUAAAUAUUUAUAUUUAUUUGACUCAUUUAUUACACAUAUAUAAAAUUUAAAACACUUAAAGUUUAUAUUUUCAUGUCAAAUUUUAUUGAAAUAAAUUUAAAACUUAUAAAAUUACCAAAAAAAUAUACACCUAUAAUAUUAAAAAAUAUAAAAUUUGGGUACCCGAAUUAAAAUUUGGCUCGAUGUCGAGCUUAAAAAACCCAGCCCAGACAUUUAAAAAUUACGUCUGGGCUGGAUCCGGGCAUUGCGAUACCCAAACUCGGCCCGAAGUUUUGCCAAUCAUGAGAAUUCGAACUACUGUUCUCACAAUCAUACUUAACUGUGGAGAUAAUUGUUCACCACUCAGCCAAAACCAAAAUCAAUCAUUUUUUAAACCAUACAUAAAAUUUUUUAAAAAGUAUUAUUGUUACAGCUUCCCCAUAAAUCUGUCAGAGAAUCUAUGUCAAAAGAUUAUUUUACGCUACGAAUUUAAUUUAACAUUAUGAUGCAAGGUAUUCUUAAAUAAUGAAUUAAAUAAGGCAAAUAGUGUGAAUUUUGUUUCGAAUGUCUGAACAAAAGUGAUGCAAACAUUUUGCGAAAUGUGCAUCAAGGAUCUGUUUAAAUUCUAUUAUUUGAUUAUGAAUGGAAUAGAAUUCAGUUGGUGCGUCUACGUGGACCGCGAUAGAAAAAGACAAAUGAUGCAGUCGGCGAGUCCACACCAUGUGCUGUAAAUAAAAACAAGUCACAUUUUGAUCCGCUUAAUGACAAAGAAAGAAGGCAAAGUUAAGUGAAAAGUGGGACUUGGUUGACGUUGACGCUGAUUUUCAAAAUAAAGUGAACGAAUCUUGGAGGGGAUUGAUCUAAUCAUCUAUGCUUUGAUCUUGCUUGCUCAGAAAUUUCCAAGUCAUUCCCCAUCAAAUUUGUGGGGUUGAAAAGAUUGGGGAUUUGCUUGGGAAGAAUCACUCCCAAGAGACUGCACUCUGCACUCGUCUUUCAGCCUGCUGUCUAUCUGCAUGUAGCAUCAUCGGGGACGAAAGUAGGAAACUUCUGGGAAAUUUUUGAAACGUUUUGCAAUGAUAAUGAAAGCUGUGAAGUCAUCUCAUGACAAUAAGCAUGACGACACUCACUGCUUCGAACCUUAUUAUCAAAGUCAACAAAUGGGUGUGUAUGGGAGCUGGCUAAAGCUGGAACUGUAAGUUACAGAAUCCGUAACUUGCCAGCUCCCCGUUUCUAAUCUAUUAUUCAACAACUAUAAUAAAUUUAUAACACGUCCUUUCAAGAUUUGUAAAGCCGUAGCCACUAGCCAGCCAUAUCAUUUGUUCAACCUUAAAUCAUUGGAGCCUGUCGAGUGUCGAAAAUUCUAGAAAAUAAGAACGCAAAUAUCAAGGAGAAUAAUGGUUUUGUUCUGAUGUUUUUGUUUUUAAAUUUUUAGUAGAAUGAGAUACGUAUAACCAAAAAAACUUGGAGAUUGUUUGGACUCUGGCGAGUGGUGACCCGACCCAGAAAGUAGGUGUCAGCAAAUAUGUGGCCACUCAGUGUAAAGCAUUGUUAUUAUCAUUAUUAUUAAAGGACACCAGUAGUGGAAUAGACGAGUUAGUCAUGUUUUGGACUUCACUUUUUUGAUCAAUGGUUGAAAGGAGACAACCGCUCGAGUCAAAUCAACUCACGUGGGUUAGUCCUAUGAGCAUAAACUUUGGGGCAAGUACAAGUAACAUUGCAAAAAUUAUUGUUCUUUUUUCUUUUGUUUUGGAUUGUUUAUUUUUUUGGUACGGAGACAAAUAUUGCUAUUAUUAUUAUUCACCAAAACAAUAAUACCCCGCGUGACAAUGAUAUUACUCUUAUGACACUAAACUUGGGUAUUCAUUCAUUUGUCAUCUUUACCAUUUGCGCAAUAUGCCAAGUUUUAUAAUAAAUAAUUAUAAACUUGUAAAGAUCGCCCGCCGUCCAUUCAUGAAUAUUAUUUAAUGCACGCAGCCUAAAUGGAUUAGGCACUCACUCUUAAUAUCUUUUUGUUUUUGGAACAUGCACUUGUAAUACAUGGAUUCCUCCUCAUUCCUCAACCAAAAAGGCAAAUAAAGUAAGUUGGUAGUGUGACACAUGUUUUCAUUUAUUAAUUAUUUAAGGUCUUGGUGGUUGGUAGUAAAGAACAAAAACUUAUUAUCAAAAGUGCAGGUUUUAUAAUAGAUAAGGAUCCGUUUAAUAUUAGUUGAAAUAAUUUAAAUCUGUCUAAGCUGAAAAUAGUGUAUAUCAUUCUAAAGAAUGGAUAAGGUUGAUUUAGAUUAGUUAGAUGUUUUUUGAAUUAGCUUCUUAGGUGAGUUAGUUAGCCAAGGAAAGCUAAACGACUCCAGUUCAGUUGUGCGGAUGGUGUGGAGCUCCUUCAAAGCAACUGAGACAAAGGUAGUUUUUGAACAGCUGUGGUUGUUCCAGUGCAUAAACUAAGCUGUUGUUAGUGCUAAUUGCUGUGAUGAAGUGAAAGCCUAUUGUAUUCACAUGAGCUUUUAGAAAAAGAAAGGUGCAUUGAGCUCUACGAAGAACGCGGCAUCGGCGUUCAUGGAUACGCUACGUUCGAUCAUAACCAUCACCUUUUGCAUUUUCAGAGCUUUAGAUUCUUGAUAUCUUCCUCAUUGGCAAACCAGUCUGGUAUUAUCCGUGCCAAAUGAGGGAAAAGAUCUUUGUAGACAUUCUUGAUGGUCCCUUCUGCUACUCUCGUAACAAUGGAGAUCUCUGCAAAAACAGGGGCAUGAAUGGCAUCUGAGUAAGCAUAAUUUCUAAAAGAAUUGAUAGCUUUCUAACCUUUGAGAGGCUUUGUGUCAUUUGAUAGCUGAGUUAUGAUGUAAAUAACAGCUGCCGCCACUGAGAUCGGGCUUCUCCUGUGAAAGCAAGCAAGAAUUUUGUUUUACCCAAAGCCAAUGACACCAUCUACAUACACUAUUCAUUUAUGAUUAAUUUUCUAAUGGAGUUGUUAAAAAAUUUCACAGAGAGAGAGGGAGAGAGAGAUAAAUAAACAAAUAAAUAAAACAGCUUCACAGGUUAUCUGAUGCUUCCUUUCAUUUGACAAAAAGGCAAAUGUUCAUUAACAGCUUCUAUGUCUAUGAUCCAAAGCCAUGUGAAGAUCUACUGAAAUGAAGUUAGACAAACUCAAUCAAACAAGAGAAGACCACAUGAAAUAAACUCAUUUCUCUCCCCCACCACGACUCCUUUCUUUCUUUCUUAUAUUUUUCUUCUUCAAAGAUAAUUAUGUGUUCAUAGGGUUCAACUAAUAUAUUCUUAGUAUCCAUAACACCGAAAUGUAUAAAUGCAUCUCAUAAAAGCCCAAACUAUAAGUUGAAUGUGAGUUUCUACCAAGAAAAGUGAAAAGAAAACCAGAAUUAACCUUAUGUCGAGAUCUUCAGAUUUCUGAACAGCCUCUUGAGCAGCCUUAACAGCUUGAUUCGUCAUUCCAAGAUUGGAACAAAAACGUCUCUAUAGAUUGAAGAUAAAAUUUAUGUAAAUGGAUGCAUUGGAUUAGACAAAUAAGGCCACAAGGAACAAAAAAUCAUACACGAAGAAAAAUCCAAUACGAACAGAAAGAAAAAAUUUUAAAAAAUAUUCAACAAAAAUAUCACCAGAUAGUCUGAAGCAUGUAUAGUUCCCAUUUCCACAGAUUGACCCAUUUCUGCUUCUAGGUGUUUCACGAUGAAUUCUUUUGCCCGUCCUAUUUCUUUCUUUGUUGUCCCAUUAGCAACAGAACAAAAUUCUAGUUGAAAUCUAUGUAGUUAGCAUAUGAAACCUUACAAUGCAAAGAGGAAGAUCAAGAAAAUUUUUAGAGAAAGUUUGCUCAGUACCUUUCACAGUCCUGGGUUUGUUUUCUUGUCGGCAAGCAAUGUAGAGGCAAGCAGCCACAAUUGCUUCCUGAUUUCGUCCUCUAAGAGGUUUUUGAUCUUCUACCUUCUUAUAGAUUUCAUUAGCUCGAUCCUUAAAGUCAUAAGUAGAAACAGUUAGCAGAUGAUAAAAGCUCUAAAACAAAAAGAUUGGACCAAACCGUUUGAAAGUAGAAACCAGCAUAGCAUGUUCGAGAAAGGAAAGAUAAAACUAAAAUAUGAUAGCAUAUAUAAAUCCCAAAUAGAAGCAUAAAUACUAAAAUAUCAGACAAAAUAAUUCUAAAAAGAUAUAUGCUAGCCAAAUUGUGGUUUAAUCAAUUGAUAAUCAAUGAUGAAGUUCUGAAUCUUUUGUGUGAAGCUUUGUGUGUUUUGACCACACUACUUAACAUUCCACAGUUUACCCUAAGAUCACGAUUGAUUCAUCUAUGAAUGCCAUGUUUGUAUCUUUCAGUUCCUCAAGCCUAAAAUUUAUACACGUAUGAUAACAACAACCAUAAAUUGAAUGUUGGCCCGAGUGCCUUAACUGGAGUAAAUUUGACAAUACCAACAAAGCUAGUUGGCAUUGAGAAGGGUAUAGCUUAAGCAGAAGGCUAAUUAAACUCUUCCUUUAUUGAACUCUUAUCAUCCCACCUCUUUCACUCUUUCCUAACCUUCAUCUUUAUCCUACCUGAGCUCUGUCUAAGACAAAUCAAACAUCACUUUCUAACCUCCAUUGCCAGUGUUCUUUAUAAUAUUAAGUUCACUAUGAAAUUCAGGACUGCCAACCCAAUUGGGUGAAUGGACACAAGAAUCCUCGUAUUCAGGCAGAAUCAAUUUCCAAGAAGUAUACAAGAAAAAUUCAAAUGCACACAUGGUAACAGAGCAAUCAACAGUAUAUCUGAAUAGUGAAGAAGCAAUAGCACCAGUAAUUCUAUUUAAAAAAAAAAAGAAAUUAUUACAUAUACUAAAUACCUUUAUGGUUGUAACAAGUCCCAACCUGAAACACCCAUAUCUUGCAUUAGCUAUAACAGCAAUUUAUUCAACUAUGAAGAACCAAUAUUUUCAUCAGGAAAAUGACUCCCAGAAAAUAAUAUUUCAAUGACUCACUAAGCAAAGCAUAAUGUAGUGUACAAGUCUAAAGCUGAGGAAUAUUCAAGAAUGAACUUGGGAAACAAAAAUGCUAUUCAUUGAAAGUCUCAGCAGUUUAUGCUCAAGGUAUACGCGAAAACACAAACAAUGAGGUAAAGUCCGUCCCCUGGAGGCAUAUCAGAAAAAUAAAAAAAAACAUGCUCCUCCUUAACCAUACAAAAGUUUGCUUACUACUUGAACAAUGUCAUGCAGCAAGCGUCUUGUAUUUCUGUCUUUAGUUAAAAGUCUUAAGUUAUAUAUUAACAACUAUUGAUCUUCGAAUUGCAGGUCAUUUCAGAUAAGAAUAAGACAAUCCUCAUCAAGAACAUCUAGUAUAGCAAAAUGUCCACCAAUAAAGUAAGCACUGGACUGCAAGAGUGAGACGCAACAACAUGUGCACGUUAAAUUAAAUAAAAAUUAACAUAUAGAGUCUCUCUCACAGAAUGCUGCAAGCAAGAAACAUAUUGCAUAAUGCCCAUCUAUAAUCAUUUCAUAUAUAGAAUUGCAUACAUAUAUACAUACAGUUGGCCCAACUAAACAGCUCAUUAAAUUAUUGAAAACUGAAAACGAUUUUCACACAGCAAAAUUAAGGAAAAAAAAACUGAAAAAAGGGGAGGGGUGGGGGCCAGCCAAUGCAAAAUAAAAAAAAAAAAUGGAAAGGAAGAGAAAAAUGCACGAUUUAAAUUUAGAAUUACACCUAUCAGACAUGGCAGAAAUAGACUUGAAGGCCUGAAUAAGGUUCCUAUCAGGAUGGGAACCGCGGGCCUGCAACUUGCCAAGGGAGCCAGACAAAAGCUCAGUGGAGCCGCCAGCAGUAGGCUUGGCAAUAACAGUGGAUAGGCCGCCGUCGCUCAAGAGAGGGUUGAGGGGCCCACCGACACGAACGGGGUCGUGAUCGGAGGACUCGUUGGCGAAAAUACGCCAUUCGGAGGUUUCGUCGACGGAGUAGGCCUCCAAGACGAGACCGCACUCAGAGCAAAUGGUGUCGCCGGCCGAGUGGUCGAACACCACCUCCGUCAGUCGCUUGCAAUCUGCGCAGUACGAGUCCGCCAUAGGAAGAAACAAGGAAACAAGAAAGAGGUUUUAAAGUUUCAGUUUCAGUUUCAGUUUCGGUUCAGCAGCACUGAAUAAAUCAUAAAUGCGCGUGUGCUUUCGUUCUUGUUGCUGCUGCUGCUGUCUACUCUACGAGUCUGCUCCGAUGCGUCUGAGCGAGUGAGGCGUUUUAUUUGUGAUGUGAUUAUUUUAUAGUGGGGCCAUCCGCGCUUCAGUGGGGGUUCCUGCCAGCUCAUUCUUUCUGUGAAAAGUAAUAACUAUUUACGAGAAUGGCCCGAGUAUUUGUCCUAAUUUAUAAAUAGUGGUCCAAUUUUGAUUCCUUCUUUUCUUUUAGUACCCAAAGUAUGAUGAUUUUGGCAAGCGGGUUGUUUUAUAGAUCGGUCCUAAUUUUGGAUAUUUUCUUUAAAUUUUCUAAACGUACGCCCUAGAUAUUUUUUAUGACUCACAAUCAUACGAGUGGAAUGAAAUGAUGAUUCUCAUGCGUUAGGUGCAGAGUUCUGCAACUUAAUUUUUUUAAUUUUUUUUUUUUUAUUGAACAUGUAACAAGCACGUCUCUUUUUUGUUCAUUUUCAUAACACUUUUUUUCUCUCACUGAUUGACAAUCGCAGAGCGAGCCAGCAGAUGAUCUCUGAUUCUCAGUCAUCCUACAAAUGUCCAAGCCACAGAAAAUUGUUGCUACUUUCAUUUAAAUAUUCCUCAUUCCUCUGAAAAUACUAACAAUAUAAACUCGUUUUACAUGAAUAUACCUUAACAAGGUAAACAAAAACCAACCCUAGUUGACGAUUCUCGACUUUUACGAUAAGGAGGAGUAAUAACUAAUCAGCGAGUUCAAGUAUGUCGAACAAGCCAGCCACGUGAGAACUCAUACUCUCACAAUUGUGAGAGCAUGAAUUCGAGUUGUCAUAUUGUAAUACGGGCACUUAGGUGGCGUUUGUUUUUUAACUUAAUGACUUAAAGUGACUUAACUUAAUUAAUUAAGUUAAUUAGAGGUGUUUAUUUUUAUAACUUAAUGUGACUUUUUAGAUAAUUUUGACUUAAUAAAAUAAGCUAAUUUUUUUGGCUUUUUACUUAAUGGAGAAAUCUGAAUUAAGUCAAUUACUUGCUAAUGUCAAAAAUAUCCCUGUUUUAUAAUUUAUUUUUCAUGUCUAUCCCAAAACUCACCUAUAGAUAUUUACCCCACAUAAAAAUAUCCAUGUUUUUUUCUUUCUUAUAUUAUAUAUGAUAAAAUUUGAAAUUUAUGGUAUUUUAUAUAUUAAAAUUCUAAAAUAAUUAUGUAUUCACUUGAAUAUAGUUUUACUUAUAAAUGUUAAAAUAUUGUGGUAUUUAAUAUAUUAUUUAUUUGACAUUCAAAUUUAAUAAGGAUACAAAUGUAAAAGUACAUAUUUUCAGCUUUUUAAGUUGAAAAAAAAAACUUAAUACUUAUUUUUCGAGAUUCAGACAAAAAAACAAACAUAUUAUUCAGAUUCAGACAUUCAAACCUAUUCAGAAUUCAGACUAAUUCAGGUCUAUUCAGAUUUCAGACAAAAAAAUAAACGCCACCUUAAUUUCUCUCUUAAUUAAGUGAAGAUAUUUUUUUUCUUUACAAAGUGUGAGUAGAUUAAACGUCUCUUUAAUAUUAGUAUGAGUAGAGUAGUAGUAGUCUAAUAUGCGAGUAAAUUAAACGUCUUUUGAAUAUUAGUGAGGGUAAAAAUCCUAACAGAGUAGUAGUAGUCUAAUUUGUAAAAAUCUGAGCAUGCUUUAUAAGAUUUAAUGUAUGUAAAGUAGUCUAAUUUGUAAAAAUCUGAGUAUACUUCAUAAAAUUUAAUAUAUGUAAAUUAGUCUCAGUAGUAGUUUAAUUUAUAAAUAAUAACUUUUUUUUUUUAAAUAAGGGCAUUUUUUUAAUAUAAUUUUUUCACAUAACUUCUCAUACAUGUGCAAAAAAAGACAAAGUCAAAUGAUUAGAAGCCUAUAUUUGGUAUUUUGAGAUUAUUGUGCAUAUCUAGUACAAUUACCUCAAAAUGUUGGUUGCAUUGUAUAAAUAGUAAGCUAUUUAAAUGUUUGAUAAAUUUUAUUUUGAAAAAUACUAUGAAUUUUAAAAAUUUAAAUAUCCUUGAUAAAUUUUAUAAUUAUAAGAAUGCAAAUGGUUAAAAUAAAAAUAUUAUUAAAUUCCAUGGGUAAGCCGGAGCAUCCACACACUCAUGCACCCACACACAAAUACAUACAUUUAUAAUAUAAAAUAUUUUUUUAUUGUGUUUAUAUAAUAGUUGUAACUAAAAAAUAUUUGUAUUUUAUUAAUUUGAUCUUUAUAUUUUGUUAUCUCAAAAUAAUUGAUAAAUAAAAAAGUUAACUAUAAUUUUCAUAGAUAACACCAACAUUAUUUAAUCAAACUACAAUCAGUUAUAUUUCUUAAAUUUGAACAUAAAAAAAAAAAAAAGUCUAAUGUGCUACAAAAUCUCAAAAAAAAAAUAUAUUAUAGUAAUGAUUAUUUUAAAUUUUAAAUUUUUAUUUUUAUUUUCUAAUUGAAUAAGAAUAAAUUUUUGUGUAUGUAAUAUAUGUGAGAGAAUGAAAAUGUAUUAAAGAUAAAACUGAAUUUGCAAAUCACCAAAAUCAACUUUUAAGAUCUCAAAAUCAUUUUUAAACCUAAAAAAUAACCUCAAAUGAACGCUAAGAAGUUUAUCACACCCUAACAAUGUGACAAUGUCAGUUAACAAAAUUGGUAAUUACAAAAACGAUCGGUACUAGUCCAGUAUAUAAUAAUUUACCCAUCCAAACCAUGGGUAUAUAUGCGUCCAGCAAUAAAUUUGUGCAGAUAUUUUUAGCAUUUUUAAGCGGUUUCAUACGAGUUGUAUAUGUGUGCAUAGCUUUCAUAACAAAUAAUUAUAUCAAACAAAUAAUUAUACAUCAAUUAUUUAUAGUGGAUACCAUUCAACAAGAAUUAUAAACCCAGCUUUGUUAAGAUCAUUGGAUUCUCAUGAAGUGUCAUCAUAGACUGGCAUUUUCAAAUAAACUUAAGUAUUAUUUAAGCAAAUGAUACUUGAGAUGUACCGGUCACCAGAAUGAUCAUAAACAUGGCAAUGAUAUCAAAACUUUUCUUCAUUUUUUUUUCUUUUUUCCAAAUUAUAAAAGCUAGGGGUUAGUUGUGAAUAAUUGAAGCACGCAUUGCAGCUAUAUAUAUCGUACUUGUAGAUAGUGGAUUUGUGCUGUCAAUUAACAUGAUCACAUGUAAUAUUUGCCUAAUGCAUGAGACGCAUAUAUACGUCGCGUUUGUCGUGCCCCAUGCUUGACGAUUUUCAAUUAAUCUAAUUAGUAUGCGAAACUGGACAACAAGUAAUUAUCAGUUUAUCAUCGUGAUUCGCGUACGUCGUUCUUCUGGGGUAGCAAUGGCUUGACCAGCUUUUAGCUACGUUACAAAAAGAGUUUUGAGUUAAUUUGUCAAUUGGACUUUUAACGAUGGGACUUGCCGCGCUUUGGAAAAAAUUAAUGUCAUUUUCAUUUUUUUUUAAUUUUAUAAAUCAAUUUUUUUAAUAUUGUUAUAGAGAGCACUGAAACUAACCCUAUAAUACUUUUAUGGAGGUUUGAAUUCUUAUCAUUUAUUCUUUUAUGGAGACUUGAACCUUUCCUCUCAUUAAUGGAAAUUUAAGGGCUCUUCCACUAAAACUAGAAGCUUAUUGGUAAUUUCAUAAAUCAAUUUUUUAAAAAUAAAUAAAAGGAAAAUUGGAUAAUAAUGUGAACUCAUUUGGACGGAGUAAAAUAAGUCUUACAGAAUCUACAAUGUAUAUAGUUAGGAUGAACUUUGAUAUAUCUAUGAUAUAUUAAUGACAGUCUCAUGAAGAAAUUCUUAGUAAUAUAUAUCAUGACUAUAAUAAAACAUGGCACAAAAUAUAAUAGCAAUACUAGAAUUUCGCUAUUUAAGUCCCAAUUUAGUAGCAUAUCUUAAUCUGACAAUGACAAUUAAUUUUUUGAUUUCAAGUGCUAGCAUCUAUAUUAGUUCAUUUUCUAUCUUGUGUCUAAGAUAAUGAUCAUGAAUUUCACCGACUUUAACACAUCGAAUGUGUUCUUGCAUUGUUGGAUCAAAUUUUGCCAUCACUUCAAUUAAACUUAAAAAAGUUUUAUUUGUCUAUUAAUAGAUCUUUUUUUUUUUUUUAUAACAAAAUGCUCAAUUAUUUUUAGCAAGAUUCUUUACAAUAGUGGUAAUUCUUAUCGUUUCAAAGUUCUUUUUCCUUGUCAAUUCUUUCUUUAACAUAUUUAUCAAUUCUAUGUUCAAUGGUUGUUUUAUGAUUUUUAGUUUAGGACAAAGAUUUUUCUAAUCUCUUGUUCCUUCAUCAUUAAGCUGAUUUUUGCUACAAUGUUAUAUCAUUAAAUUAUAGUUUUAUGUUUAGACAACUCUAAUCAACAAUAUUCUGUGUGGACGACACUAUGUUAGGCUUCAAAUGUGUUCUCCUUCCAAUAUCUUUCUGUUUUGAUAUUUUUGAUAGGUAUAAGUGUUUGCAAGAGAUUAUACGUUUAAUGGCUAUGCACCAUAUCAUGUUUAUAGGGUGACAUUUUGCUUGUAAAUUAUUAGGAUGGGAGGUUCAGGUCCAAGCGUGAUGCAAGAAAAGGAGCUAUGGUUAUAUUAUUCUGUUAGAGGUGCUAUCAGCAACACCUUCAACCAUUUAUUAUUAAUAUUCUGCUACCCCAAAACUGUGGAAACCAAAUUUUUUUCUUUUAAUCUCCUGUCUAAAAGUAAGAACCUAAACCAUGUCACGUUAGUGAAUCUGCCAUUGCUUUAAUUAUUUUUGGCCGAAUCCCCGAAAGGCCAAUUUAAUUCUUUACAUGAUGCGUGCGCAAUGUCUUGUGCAGGUGCGUUAAAGGGAAAAGGAAGGGGUGGUGCUGGUCGAGGUGUGCGUGCAGUUGAUUUUGUUCUGGUAUAGGAUAUACGCCAUAAUCCAAUAACACUUCAUCUCAAAGUGUCUCAAGUCGAUCUGCUGCUGUUAAUUCAUGGGAGACAUGAAUGAUGACACAAUUCAAGAGUAAUCUUGCUGCUGCAUCAUCUAUCACUCCAAAUGAAGGCUUCAACAACAAUGCAAGCACAUAUGCCCACAAGAGACCAGCAUUAAUUGGAUUUUUAUCUAGUGGUUCAAUUAGUGGAAAUGUUAAAAGAUCUCAGAUAACCAGCUUAACUGGAUUUAUAUCGGGGGUUCAAUUGGUGGAGAAAUGAGUGGAACUCAGACAACCAGCUCCUUCAGUCUUGUUCCUUUUAUUUGUGCAAAAUUUGAGAGAACAAUUUAAAGACUGUGAAAACUAAUCUAUAGGAAGCAAAAUUUAGAAAAGAAAACCAUUUAGUACAAAUAAUAUCGUGCAGAUUUAGAAGUUUGUGGGUUCUGUGAGUAGAUUUCAUUUUUCAGUAUACAUACUACAAGAAAACUGGCAAUAGAUGACAACCACUUUAUGACAGAAAUGAUUUUAUCAUAUAAUAGUGAUGGAUGUGUGAUAGAAUUAAGGUCUAUCAAAUGAUUAAUGAUGUACUUGUGAUAGAAUCGUUGUAUAUCAAUCAUUUAUGAUACGUGUAUGAUCGAAAUUUAUUCAGUCACACGCAUUAUGAUAGAAAUCUAAUGUUGACCGUGUUUGACUAAAAUUAAAAAUAUUAUUUUAAUUUUUGAAAAAGUUAAAUGCAUCGUUUAACCUGUGAAAUGAUUUGUGAAAAAUAAAUAAAAAACAAAACGAUGUGUUUAACCAAAAUGUGAGCAAAAAAAACCUAAGUUUAAACACUACAUAUUGAAGUCAUCACCCCUCUCACUUUCGCGUGCAAAGGCCAUUGAAACCCAAGGCGCAAUCAUCGUCACUUUCACUCCACAAUCUGCUCUGAAACCCUAACCACAAUCACCGUUACACCCUCAAUCAAUCAGCAUACAUUCACCAUAGUCAUCUUUACUCUCAUUCGGACAAAGAGCAGUCAAACCCUUGGAACAUUAUCGUUAUUGUUACUCUCACAAUCAAGGCUUAAAGCCUAGCCAAACUCAUCAUGUCACUGUCAAUCAAUAACCUCACUAGCACCACUCAAACCCUAGACAUUUAUAUAUGUAAUGUUAAUAUUUGAUCUUAAUUUAUUAGUGUUAUCAUGAUUAAUGAAAUUAUAACACAACUUUAUUAUUGAUAUUAUUAAUAGCUAUCAUUGUUAGCCAUUACUAUCAUUAUUAUUAUUAGAGUUAGGAGUUGCUAGAGUCAAAAUAUAAUUUUGUAACCACUACACCCUCUAGAAUUCGGAUUAUAGCCAAACAGAAAGGACAGUGUUAGCCAUUAUUAAUUUGAUUAAAUUAAACCCAAUUAUGAUACUUAUUAUCAAUUUUAUGAAUUAUUUUAUCAGAAUGUGUGUAAUUGUGUAUGGUGUGGCCCAUAUAUAAGAUUAUUUUCCUAUUAUAAUUAUUAUUUUUUUAAUAAGACAAUGAUUUUGUUAGUUAUCAUAACAAUUCUCAGUAACCAAAUUCUAUUACGUAACUAGCAAUAUAAUAUUGAUAAUUAUAAAUUCACAAUAACUGAAUUUGAGUAAUAUCCAUAUUAAAGAAAAAAGAACAUUGAAUAAUAUUUUUUUUUUCAUAUUUUACAAUCAUAUAAUCUAGACAUGAUAAUUAUAUUUUUAGAUUUAUACCAAAUUAAUUUGUGUAAUAACGCGCAACGGAGGUGGUUACAUGAAAUAUAUAUACUAAUUGAUGUGCAAUUCAUUCAUAGGCAUUAUAAAGUUCAUUCACUAUUAAUACAUAAUAAAUCAAUUGUCAUUGAAAUGUAACUGUUUAAAAAUUAGUAUUAUGAACAGAACUUUAUUGUUAAUAAUGAAAUAAAAUAAAAUAAAAUGACUCUUUUUUUCUUGGGAUAAGGAGUCAUUUUUUUUUGUUUAAAUCACCCGGUUUCUGGCUACCGCAUUGAGCCCCGACUAAUCCGGAUUCGGAGUGUAGUCACAUUUAAGGCUCCUUACCCCUCCCAAAUGGUGUGUUUAGUGGUGAUCAAACCCGAUAGCUCUUCCCACUUACCCAACCUGUGCCACCAACUGAACCACAACCGUUUGGUUAAGGAGUCAACCGUUUGGUUAAGGAGUCAUUUUUUAUUUAGGCAGCGAAACUACCACCAUAAUGAAAUAUUUUUCAAACCUAUUUUUUUUACUAAAAAUAUAAAUACUUCGUAUUUUUCUACUUCAAAAACCCUAGCCACUCUAUUGAUACAUCCCUCAGACUGACACAUACAAUACGAUCACCAACCACGAGAGCAGCCACCGCCGGAUGUCGUUGUUACCAAUACCCAAUACCCAAUACCCAGUUCAGGUAAUCAUUCAAAAAAAUUUCAUUUUGUUGUUCACUAUCAACUAAUUCAGCUGAAAUCCUACACCUACCAGAAGGCCUUCAAUUUGUACCCAUUAAUAUGAAGAAAAGUUUUGAUAUCAUUGCCAUGUUUAUGAUCAUUCUGGUGACUUGUACAUCUCAAGUAUCAUUUGCUUAAAUAAUACGUACCUAUGUUUAGUUGAAAAUGCUUGUCUAUGAUGACUCUUCAGGAGAAUCGAAUGAUCUUAACAAAGCUGGGUUUAUAAUUCUUGUCGAAUGGUAUCCAGUAUAAGUAAAUGAUGUAUAACUAUUUGUUUGGUGUACAAUUAUUUGUUAUGAAUAAUGAUGUACACAUAUACAAUAUACGACUGCUUCUUUACAUUUCUUCACAGAUGCAUUACUGAACAACCAAAUUAACAGCCGCUGUCACUACAUUAACACACUCGCUUAAGUUUUUUCAGAGAAGGUAUUUUCCGAUGCUGACUCCAUAUUUCUACUGUCUGUGAUAUUGAAUGACUUUUCAUGGGGUCUGUUAAUUUUUAAUUUAAUUUUCCAUCCGUUGGAUGCGAAUCUGCUGUACCGUACAUCCGCCUUGGCCGUACAGCAGUUUUAAUAUGUUGAUGAAACAGCUUUUUUUUUUUGGCACUAAUCAAAUAGGUUAAGUAGUAGUAUUAUUAUUACACAACUCAUUCCAAUAUGAUGUUCAGUCCACUAUUAACAUAGACAUAUUCCUCGUAAAAAUUUCGUAGAAAAAUUAUUCCUAAAGAUAGCCGAUUUCAUGAGUCACAAUAAUUAUUGCUUUUCAACUCUGUUUUUUGGGUCGGCAUCAUUUUCCUUGCUCUGCUCCUCUCUUGACUCCUCAGCUUGCUUCCUUUCUUCCUCAGCUUGCUUCCUUUCUGCUUCUUCCUUCCCUUCCUUGAGAGCUUGAAUCAAGCUUGAAAGGCAUUUCUCUACAUUGUCAGAUGGAGAUUUAGGCAUCAGAUUCUCAGCAACAUCGGCAGGUGUGAUCUUGGUAUCUUCCAUCAGCUUUUGAAUUGUUUCAAACAAUGUAUGAGUUUCCACAUUCAGAUAAUUCUUCGCAAGCACUUUGAAUCCCUGGAAUGUGCAGUAAGAGAGCUCUAUAUGUUUAUCCAUCCUGCCUCUUCUAAUCAAAGCUGGAUCAAGCUUCUCCACAUAAUUGGUGGUGAAAACAAUCAGCCUCUCCCCUCCACAAGCCGACCAUAGUCCAUCAAUAAAAUUCAGUAACCCUGAUAAAGUAACUUUGCUGCUGCCCUCUUCCUUUGGUUCCUUGCGCGAAAUCUCCUUAUCCAGCUUUUCUUUCUCAUCAUCCGACGACUUCUCAGCUUUCUUCUUCCUCUGACCUGUUAGUUCAAGCGAACAAUCUAUAUCUUCAAUCACAAUAAUUGACUUACUAGUCGUCUCAAUCAAAAGCUUCCUGAGCUCUGUAUUGUCCUUAACAGCUGUGAGCUCAAGAUCAUAAACAUCAUAAUUCAACAAAUUUGCCAUGGCAGCAAUCAUAGUAGACUUGCCAGUUCCUGGAGGACCAUAAAGAAGAUACCCUCUUUUCCAAGCCUUCCCAAUCCUUGCAUAAAAAUCUCUACUUUUGCUGAAAGUAACAAGAUCUUCAAUAAUCUCCAGCUUCUUCUCUGGCUCCAACGCCAUUGUCUCAAACGUUGCAGGAUGCUCAAACACAAUGUGACUCCACAUAGUUUGCUUGUAACUUGGCCACUUGUAACCAGGACUGUUUGUGUAAAGCUUCCUCUGCCGAUUUCUCACUCUGAUUUCUUUCCCUUCCUUCACUACAUGCUGCAAAUAAGACUCAGUUAUGAUCUCCCUAUACCGCUUAUGAAAUGUGAGCCUGUAGUAUCUCUUCUCCUGCUCAGGAUAAUAUGACAUGCCCCUCGUUGUUGACACGACUUUGCUUGAAACCCACCAAACUUUUACCCCGCGGAACUCGUCAGUAACUCUCUCAUACUCAUCCAUGCUAAGCACCAAGUUGCUGCUGUCUUUGCCCAUCUCAGCCUUGAGUCUUUUAGCACUCUUGGAUGAGUUGACGCUAAGAUAAGCCUCAACAGCAGCAUAAGCCUCGCUGCGCUUGAGGCGAUCACCCGUGAAUUCAUGGAUUGAAAUCUUGAUGUAAGGAUAAAAGAACCCCAUGAUUCUGUGCGUAUACUUUUCAAAGUGGCGGCGAACUUCAUAUGGGCAAUACUGGCGAAUGAUAGCCCACACAAACAUGAAACUUGCUAUUGUCGAACCCAUUGCUGCCAACAUCUCAGUCACUGUCGCUGGCACCAUCUUUCUUUGUUUUACAGUUGCUUUUACUCAGGCCAGGCCAAGCUAAGCGAAAAGAGUAUUGUAUUUGUGAUAAAGCUUUGUGAAUUGUGCUUCUUUUAUUCUGUUUGUUAGGCCUUCGAAUCAUAACAUUGUUAGUCCCUUAAAUAAAGUGAAGAAAGAGAAAACAGAGUAGGUAAGAGUAGAGAAUUGAGUCAUUACUAAACACCGCUUUUUAUGGACACAAGUGAUAUACGGGGAAAUUACCAUUUUCUCACUAUAAAUGUUUAAAAGGCUAAAAAUAUUAUAAAACUUUUAAAUCUAUCAAUUUUUUUAAUAUUGAUUACGCAUCAAAUUACUGUACAGCGGACCAUUACAUUGAUAUUUACAAUUAGAUAUAUGAUUGAGAUUUAUAUUAUUAAAUUAAAUUUUAUAAAGUCAAUUUUUUUAAUAUUGAUUACGCAUCAUAUUAUUGUACAGCAGACCAUUACACUGAUAUUUACAAUUAGAUAUAUAACUGAUAUUUAUAUUAUUAAAUUAAAUUUUAUAAAAUACAUGUCCAGAAAAAUAACUCUCACACACGAGCGAUGUCUCUACUCCACUAGCAUUUCACAAAGAAGAAAGAUUUUUAAAUUAACUUCACACAAUUAUGCAUAAUUAAGUAUAAAGUCGGGUCGGUCUUAGACAUCACUUGAUAAAUUUGGAAUCUGAAUUUUAUUAAAAAAUAUUUAUUAUUUUAAAUAUUUAUAUUUAUUUGACUCAUUUAUUACACAUAUAUAAAAUUUAAAACACUUAAAGUUUAUAUUUUCAUGUCAAAUUUUAUUGAAAUAAAUUUAAAACUUAUAAAAUUACCAAAAAAAUAUACACAUAUAAUAUUAAAAAAUAUAAAAUUUGGGUACCCGAAUUAAAAUUUGGCUCGAUGUCGAGCUUAAAAAACCCAGCCCAGACAUUUAAAAAUUACGUCUGGGCUGGAUCCGGGCAUUGCGAUACCCAAACUCGGCCCGAAGUUUUGCCAAUCAUGAGAAUUCGAACUACUGUUCUCACAAUCAUACUUAACUGUGGAGAUAAUUGUUCACCACUCAGCCAAAACCAAAAUCAAUCAUUUUUUAAACCAUACAUAAAAUUUUUUAAAAAGUAUUAUUGUUACAGCUUCCCCAUAAAUCUGUCAGAGAAUCUAUGUCAAAAGAUUAUUUUACGCUACGAAUUUAAUUUAACAUUAUGAUGCAAGGUAUUCUUAAAUAAUGAAUUAAAUAAGGCAAAUAGUGUGAAUUUUGUUUCGAAUGUCUGAACAAAAGUGAUGCAAACAUUUUGCGAAAUGUGCAUCAAGGAUCUGUUUAAAUUCUAUUAUUUGAUUAUGAAUGGAAUAGAAUUCAGUUGGUGCGUCUACGUGGACCGCGAUAGAAAAAGACAAAUGAUGCAGUCGGCGAGUCCACACCAUGUGCUGUAAAUAAAAACAAGUCACAUUUUGAUCCGCUUAAUGACAAAGAAAGAAGGCAAAGUUAAGUGAAAAGUGGGACUUGGUUGACGUUGACGCUGAUUUUCAAAAUAAAGUGAACGAAUCUUGGAGGGGAUUGAUCUAAUCAUCUAUGCUUUGAUCUUGCUUGCUCAGAAAUUUCCAAGUCAUUCCCCAUCAAAUUUGUGGGGUUGAAAAGAUUGGGGAUUUGCUUGGGAAGAAUCACUCCCAAGAGACUGCACUCUGCACUCGUCUUUCAGCCUGCUGUCUAUCUGCAUGUAGCAUCAUCGGGGACGAAAGUAGGAAACUUCUGGGAAAUUUUUGAAACGUUUUGCAAUGAUAAUGAAAGCUGUGAAGUCAUCUCAUGACAAUAAGCAUGACGACACUCACUGCUUCGAACCUUAUUAUCAAAGUCAACAAAUGGGUGUGUAUGGGAGCUGGCUAAAGCUGGAACUGUAAGUUACAGAAUCCGUAACUUGCCAGCUCCCCGUUUCUAAUCUAUUAUUCAACAACUAUAAUAAAUUUAUAACACGUCCUUUCAAGAUUUGUAAAGCCGUAGCCACUAGCCAGCCAUAUCAUUUGUUCAACCUUAAAUCAUUGGAGCCUGUCGAGUGUCGAAAAUUCUAGAAAAUAAGAACGCAAAUAUCAAGGAGAAUAAUGGUUUUGUUCUGAUGUUUUUGUUUUUAAAUUUUUAGUAGAAUGAGAUACGUAUAACCAAAAAAACUUGGAGAUUGUUUGGACUCUGGCGAGUGGUGACCCGACCCAGAAAGUAGGUGUCAGCAAAUAUGUGGCCACUCAGUGUAAAGCAUUGUUAUUAUCAUUAUUAUUAAAGGACACCAGUAGUGGAAUAGACGAGUUAGUCAUGUUUUGGACUUCACUUUUUUGAUCAAUGGUUGAAAGGAGACAACCGCUCGAGUCAAAUCAACUCACGUGGGUUAGUCCUAUGAGCAUAAACUUUGGGGCAAGUACAAGUAACAUUGCAAAAAUUAUUGUUCUUUUUUCUUUUGUUUUGGAUUGUUUAUUUUUUUGGUACGGAGACAAAUAUUGCUAUUAUUAUUAUUCACCAAAACAAUAAUACCCCGCGUGACAAUGAUAUUACUCUUAUGACACUAAACUUGGGUAUUCAUUCAUUUGUCAUCUUUACCAUUUGCGCAAUAUGCCAAGUUUUAUAAUAAAUAAUUAUAAACUUGUAAAGAUCGCCCGCCGUCCAUUCAUGAAUAUUAUUUAAUGCACGCAGCCUAAAUGGAUUAGGCACUCACUCUUAAUAUCUUUUUGUUUUUGGAACAUGCACUUGUAAUACAUGGAUUCCUCCUCAUUCCUCAACCAAAAAGGCAAAUAAAGUAAGUUGGUAGUGUGACACAUGUUUUCAUUUAUUAAUUAUUUAAGGUCUUGGUGGUUGGUAGUAAAGAACAAAAACUUAUUAUCAAAAGUGCAGGUUUUAUAAUAGAUAAGGAUCCGUUUAAUAUUAGUUGAAAUAAUUUAAAUCUGUCUAAGCUGAAAAUAGUGUAUAUCAUUCUAAAGAAUGGAUAAGGUUGAUUUAGAUUAGUUAGAUGUUUUUUGAAUUAGCUUCUUAGGUGAGUUAGUUAGCCAAGGAAAGCUAAACGACUCCAGUUCAGUUGUGCGGAUGGUGUGGAGCUCCUUCAAAGCAACUGAGACAAAGGUAGUUUUUGAACAGCUGUGGUUGUUCCAGUGCAUAAACUAAGCUGUUGUUAGUGCUAAUUGCUGUGAUGAAGUGAAAGCCUAUUGUAUUCACAUGAGCUUUUAGAAAAAGAAAGGUGCAUUGAGCUCUACGAAGAACGCGGCAUCGGCGUUCAUGGAUACGCUACGUUCGAUCAUAACCAUCACCUUUUGCAUUUUCAGAGCUUUAGAUUCUUGAUAUCUUCCUCAUUGGCAAACCAGUCUGGUAUUAUCCGUGCCAAAUGAGGGAAAAGAUCUUUGUAGACAUUCUUGAUGGUCCCUUCUGCUACUCUCGUAACAAUGGAGAUCUCUGCAAAAACAGGGGCAUGAAUGGCAUCUGAGUAAGCAUAAUUUCUAAAAGAAUUGAUAGCUUUCUAACCUUUGAGAGGCUUUGUGUCAUUUGAUAGCUGAGUUAUGAUGUAAAUAACAGCUGCCGCCACUGAGAUCGGGCUUCUCCUGUGAAAGCAAGCAAGAAUUUUGUUUUACCCAAAGCCAAUGACACCAUCUACAUACACUAUUCAUUUAUGAUUAAUUUUCUAAUGGAGUUGUUAAAAAAUUUCACAGAGAGAGAGGGAGAGAGAGAUAAAUAAACAAAUAAAUAAAACAGCUUCACAGGUUAUCUGAUGCUUCCUUUCAUUUGACAAAAAGGCAAAUGUUCAUUAACAGCUUCUAUGUCUAUGAUCCAAAGCCAUGUGAAGAUCUACUGAAAUGAAGUUAGACAAACUCAAUCAAACAAGAGAAGACCACAUGAAAUAAACUCAUUUCUCUCCCCCACCACGACUCCUUUCUUUCUUUCUUAUAUUUUUCUUCUUCAAAGAUAAUUAUGUGUUCAUAGGGUUCAACUAAUAUAUUCUUAGUAUCCAUAACACCGAAAUGUAUAAAUGCAUCUCAUAAAAGCCCAAACUAUAAGUUGAAUGUGAGUUUCUACCAAGAAAAGUGAAAAGAAAACCAGAAUUAACCUUAUGUCGAGAUCUUCAGAUUUCUGAACAGCCUCUUGAGCAGCCUUAACAGCUUGAUUCGUCAUUCCAAGAUUGGAACAAAAACGUCUCUAUAGAUUGAAGAUAAAAUUUAUGUAAAUGGAUGCAUUGGAUUAGACAAAUAAGGCCACAAGGAACAAAAAAUCAUACACGAAGAAAAAUCCAAUACGAACAGAAAGAAAAAAUUUUAAAAAAUAUUCAACAAAAAUAUCACCAGAUAGUCUGAAGCAUGUAUAGUUCCCAUUUCCACAGAUUGACCCAUUUCUGCUUCUAGGUGUUUCACGAUGAAUUCUUUUGCCCGUCCUAUUUCUUUCUUUGUUGUCCCAUUAGCAACAGAACAAAAUUCUAGUUGAAAUCUAUGUAGUUAGCAUAUGAAACCUUACAAUGCAAAGAGGAAGAUCAAGAAAAUUUUUAGAGAAAGUUUGCUCAGUACCUUUCACAGUCCUGGGUUUGUUUUCUUGUCGGCAAGCAAUGUAGAGGCAAGCAGCCACAAUUGCUUCCUGAUUUCGUCCUCUAAGAGGUUUUUGAUCUUCUACCUUCUUAUAGAUUUCAUUAGCUCGAUCCUUAAAGUCAUAAGUAGAAACAGUUAGCAGAUGAUAAAAGCUCUAAAACAAAAAGAUUGGACCAAACCGUUUGAAAGUAGAAACCAGCAUAGCAUGUUCGAGAAAGGAAAGAUAAAACUAAAAUAUGAUAGCAUAUAUAAAUCCCAAAUAGAAGCAUAAAUACUAAAAUAUCAGACAAAAUAAUUCUAAAAAGAUAUAUGCUAGCCAAAUUGUGGUUUAAUCAAUUGAUAAUCAAUGAUGAAGUUCUGAAUCUUUUGUGUGAAGCUUUGUGUGUUUUGACCACACUACUUAACAUUCCACAGUUUACCCUAAGAUCACGAUUGAUUCAUCUAUGAAUGCCAUGUUUGUAUCUUUCAGUUCCUCAAGCCUAAAAUUUAUACACGUAUGAUAACAACAACCAUAAAUUGAAUGUUGGCCCGAGUGCCUUAACUGGAGUAAAUUUGACAAUACCAACAAAGCUAGUUGGCAUUGAGAAGGGUAUAGCUUAAGCAGAAGGCUAAUUAAACUCUUCCUUUAUUGAACUCUUAUCAUCCCACCUCUUUCACUCUUUCCUAACCUUCAUCUUUAUCCUACCUGAGCUCUGUCUAAGACAAAUCAAACAUCACUUUCUAACCUCCAUUGCCAGUGUUCUUUAUAAUAUUAAGUUCACUAUGAAAUUCAGGACUGCCAACCCAAUUGGGUGAACUUAAAAAUAUUCGACACGCUUUAUAUCCAAAAGUCAAAAAGUCAAUAAGCCUUAUCGAUGGCCAAUUCUUUGGUAUUAAUAUUUUACUAAAGUCAAAAAGUCAAUAAGCCUCAUCUGCUUAAUCUUUGGUUGAUCACGCUUUGAGAUUCCAAGGAGUAGUAUAAAUAGAUCCAUCACCUUCCAUCCAAUCCACCAACACAAAAAGACCUGCGGACAUUAAUUGUGUAAUUUAGAUCUUAACAGCAGCCAUCCAUGUAUUCUUCUUCAUCAGUGUCACUCUUCGGGCUGCUAUGCGGCUUGGUAGUGUUACUGAUUCUCCCUUUCUCUUCCCGUGCAAGUGACCCUGAUCCUUUACAAGACGUCUGUAUUGCGGAUUUGAAUGCCCCCAUCUCUAUCAAUGGUUUCCCCUGCAAACCAGAUUCAGAAGUAACUUCUGAUGAUUUCUUCACGGAUUUUUCUAAAAAUCCGACCACUUUUGAUGUCUUUAAGCGUGCAGUUACGCUUGGUGAUGUUUCUGGCUUUCCAGCGGUCAAUACUCAAGGAGUUUCACUCUUCCGAAUUGACCUGGAUGUCGGUGGAAUAAACCCGCCUCAUACACAUCCUCGUGGAACUGAGGCUGGCAUUGUUACUCGAGGAAAGGUGCUCGUAGGUUUAGUAACAACUAAUAAUACCUUUUUCUCAAAGGUUUUGACUCCCGGGAUGGUGUUCUUAAUUCCCAGAGCGCUGAUUCACUUCCAGCUGAAUGUUGGAAAGGGGCCGGCCACCUUUAUACCUAUUUUCAAUACUCAAAAUCCUGGCGUUUCGGACUCACUCACUACUCUUUUUGAUACAACACCCCCAAUUCCCAAUAAAGUGUUGACCAAAUCUUUCCGAGUCAGUAAUGAUGUGAUUAAUGUGAUCAGAGCAGCCCGGGCAUCAAAUUAAUUAGUAAUCGAUCUAGCGAGGUAGCAUCCUCGAUGCUUGAUCGGUACCCUUUAUAUUGUCUCAAAGUAAUUAAUAAGAUUUAUUUUAUGCAAUUGUUAUUCUGCUGUACCGUACAUCCGCCUUGGCCGUACAGCAGAACUUAAUUAAUUAAGUUAAUUAGAGGUGUUUAUAACAUUCUCGACACCUGAUGAUACCCAUUAUAAUGUCUCAGAACUAAUGAAUAAGAUUUAUUUUAUGUAAUAAUUGUUGAAUAAAGAAAAGAUGGUGGCGAUUUGCAUGCUAAAUGUACCUCGAAUUCCAUAUUAUGAUAAAGUUUUUUUUUUCCCCCUAAAUUUCUUUUUGUUCAAAUCAUAUGUUGAAUCAUGAACGUGUAAGUUAGUAUUAGGAUAAUUUAAUUGAACUAAAUAAAAUACAUGUUACUCUUGACACCAUCUAGCACAAUUAUUCAAAAUCCUAUUUGUUUUCAACCAAAAAACUUUUCUCCUCAACAUAACCCAUCUAGUAUAGUUUUCUGGUCCAGAAUCUUAAAGUGCAGGAAAAGUCCGGAAUAACUUUAAAACUGCAGGGUUUUAAAGGCUUACAACUUGAAACACUUAAACCGCACAGUUUAUCCGUUUUUCCGGACAUUCUCGCACUUUAAAAUUCUAAAUUGGAACAUAAAUAAAUGUUUCAAUUCAGGAUCUUAAAGUGCGGGAAAAACCACAUGGUUUUAAAGGCUUAAAAUUGUAGGCCUUUAAAACUAUGCGGUUUUAAAACUUUCCCGCACUUUAAAAUUAUGAACUAGAAAACUACUAUAUCUAUAUAAUAUCAUAUAUCAUAUAAUAUCAUAUCAUAUAAAUAUUAAUAGGAAAAUUAUUUGGGAGGCAGCAAGAUGCAGAAUUACAUGUAACCACUAAUGAUUAAAUCCAAAUUACCUCUUAUUUGUAACUUCUAUCAAUAAACCACUUUUUGUUGAAUUUGAAUAAAAGAUGUUAAAAAAUCUUUAUUAAAAUAUCCAUUUUCCCUUGAUAUUGUUUAAAAAUGUUAAAAAAAAAAAAUUAUUACCCAUUGAAGCAAGUUUGCAACUGCGAAAAUUAAAAACAGCAGUUGCUUAUGCCAAAAAAUAAAAAAUCAGAAAAGAAAAGGCAUGCUCCCGGUUAGGUAGAGAUUUUUGUUGUGACAAUUCUUUAUUAAAUGAUUAACUCAAAACUGAUUGGCUCUUGUCAUACAAUUAUUCUACUAGUUUCAGCAUACGAGAAGUAUUAGAUCUUAUUGCUUCUCUAUUAAUUAAUACUUGGUGCGUCAGGUAAUGGAAUGAAAGAAAUUAAAUUUUUUUUUUUGGCUGAAGCUUCCAAUUAUCGGAGAUGGCUAGCCGAACAAUAACCUUCGGCUCUAGGAAUGAGUUGGAACCAUCCGUAAGACACACAAGAUGAGAUACGUUGCCAAAACCCAUAUUUUCCUGAAGAUAGCCUUCAAUUAAUGGAUUGAAUAAUAAUCUAUCAUCAUGAAUUUUAAUAACUCUGGUGAUAAAAUCUCAAUAAGCUACUAGCUAGCUGAAAAUGGGUUCAAAAUUCCACGACCUUGAAAUUACAAGGUACUGAAACCUCAUUGAAGAUUUCAGAGUUUGUUGUAAACUGUACUUUCAAUGCAAAGAUCAGGGCAUUGGAAGGCAAGUGUUUCUAAUCUAUCCUAUUAUUGUGGACAGGGUCUACUUCUAGCGUAAGAAACGGUCUCCCUAGAACUGGGAUAGAGUCUCAUAAGUAUGUGUACCUUAAUUUAAAUAUAUAUAUAUAUAUAUAUUUUACGGAUGUAAGUCUAGAGAAAUAAGAAUAGACGACUCUUCAAUUAACGAAAUUAAAAGAUUUUGUCAUUUAGAUUUCAUGGACCAAAAAUCAAAUCAAAAUUUGAGAAUAUUAUGCAGCUUAUUGAUUUCUCACUCGGCUGUAAUGCUAGGACUGAAUGAGGAAUCUUAUUUAUCCAGUCAUAAAUGUUCCGUGAGAAUUGAUGAAUUGGAUAAUUAAUCAUCAUUAACAAACUAGUUCCCUCAUCCCUGAGAAUCUAUGGAUUGGAUAAUUAAUCGUCAUCAACAAGCUGGCUACUAGGUAAAGGUUUACGGAUUCAUUUUUCGUUGACUUUGAAAUCACUAAGUAUAUAAUAGGAGAAUAGACUACUUCAACUCUUUUUAAUAUGUUGAUUUGUUUGUUUCAAAUAUCAACUCCAAGAAAUUACUUAAACAAGAAGAAACGGCUCAUUAUCUUGACGUAGUACUUCUGUAAAGUGUAUUUAAUUAAUUUUCAACCUGUAGCUACAUAUCAAAGCUGGAGUUUAUAUCCCAGAAUCAGAUAGCCAAAAGCAACAAGAAAUAACUUCAUACUCUCGCUUGACCAAGUACAUACUUCUACCACGUCUUCAAUUUCAAUCUUUUUUUUUUCCGUCGCCAUAUCAAAUUAAAAGCAGCUUAGAUCUUUGUUAACACACGCUUUACAAAGCCAAAAAAGCCAACAAUUAAAUAAUCUCAUUAUUCUGAUUCUGAUCCUACAAUUUGCUAUUAAAAACUUUUUUUUCAAUCAAACUAUAUGUUGAAUGUAUUUAGUAUUAUGAACAAUUUAAUUGAAAAAUCUAGCACGCUGCUUCAAUAUCAUAUUGCAUCUUAGUCUAAAAAUUAUCGUCCUCAAUAUCAUAUCUGAUGCAUUAUUUUUAUUAAGUUUUGUUUGAUAGUUAUAGUUUUUUUCUACAGCAGCAGUAGCUUAAAAAGUACAUCACCUCAAUCCCAAAUGAACCUUAGUAUCAUAGUUGUGCAGCUGUAGCUUCGGUUAUAGUACUUGUGUUUGGUUUGAAGAAAUGAAAGAAAAUAAGAUGAUAGAAAAGGAGGAGAGGGUAAAUAAAUAAGGAGAAAAAAAGAUGAAUUUUGUGUCAAAAUAAACAAUAAAAUUGAGAUUGAUUUUUUUUUUUAACCUCAUUUCCUCUUGAGCAUAUAUGUUGGACUUAUAAAUUUAUGUUUGGAUGUAAAUUGUUUGAUAAAUUCCUAUUGUUGUGGUUUGGAAAUUAGGUUAAUUUGAUUUAACAUUUAUAUAAUAAACCACUUACAGUAUCUUUAUUAUAUUUUUAUCAAAACUUUCAUUUAAAAGUCAUAUUUAUUAUAUACUAAUAACUUUUAUUUCAUGAUGAUAGAUGCAGCACUUCAAAACCAAAAUAAGACCAUAUAUUUUUAUAACUUCUCUUAUCAGAAUAUGAAUGUUGCUUGCACGCAUUAACAAUUCCACUAGUUGCCGGUUCAUAAUUAUCACGUCAACUCUUAAAAAAAGGGCGCACUGCCGGUUCAUAAUUAUCUGCACAAAGUACAUUAUUCUAGCAUUAAAUUUUAAAUAUCUUUCAGUGCCUUUAAAAAUUAAACAUUCAAACUACGUAGUUAUAUUGUCAGAAAGCCAAAACAAUGAGACGUUCUUUUUGGUUCAUUAUCUUUCCCGGUUGCAAAGGCCAGGUUACGUAACAAUUUAAAUAAUCUGUACGCGCUAUCCGAAUUCAGAAAGUCAACAAACCUCAUCGAUCUGCCAAUUCUUUGGCAUUAAUAUUUUACUUAAUUCAAAGUAAUGUUAAUCACGCUUUCAGGCUCCAAGGAUUAAUAUAAAUAGAUCCAUCAUCUUCCUUUAAAUCAACAACUAAAGACUACUUGCAGCCAUUAAUUGUGUAAAUUUAGAUUUUAAUCACAACCAUGAUUUCUUCUUCAUCAACGUCACUCAUUGGGCUGCUAUGCUGCCUGAUAGUGUUAUUGAUUCUCCCUUUCCCUUCCCAUGCAAGUGACCCUGAUCCUUUACAAGACAUCUGUGUUGCGGAUUUGAAUGCUUCCGGCUCUAUUAAUGGUUUCCCCUGCAAACCUGAGUCAGAAGUAACUUCUGAUGAUUUCUUCACGGAUUUUUCCAAAGAAGCAGCUACUUUUGAUGUCUUUAAACGUGGAGCUACACUCGGUGAUGUUUUUGGCUUUCCAGUGGUCAAUACUCAAGGAGUUUCACUCUUCCGAAUUGACUUGGGUGUCGGUGGAAUAAACCCGCCUCAUACACACCCUCGUGGAACCGAGGCUGGUAUUGUUACUAGAGGAAAGGUGCUCGUAGGUUUAGUAACAACUAAUAAUACCUUUUUCUCAAAGGUUUUGACUCCCGGGAUGGUGUUCUUAAUUCCCAGAGCGCUGAUUCACUUCCAGCUGAAUGUUGGAAAGGGGCCGGCCACCUUUAUACCUAUUUUCAAUACUCAAAAUCCUGGCGUUUCGGACUCACUCACUACUCUUUUUGAUACAACACCCCCAAUUCCCAAUAAAGUGUUGACCAAAUCUUUCCGAGUCAGUAAUGAUGUGAUUAAUGUGAUCAGAGCAGCCCGGGCAUCAAAUUAAUUAGUAAUCGAUCUAGCGAGGUAGCAUCCUCGAUGCUUGAUCGGUACCCUUUAUAUUGUCUCAAAGUAAUUAAUAAGAUUUAUUUUAUGCAAUUGUUAUUGAAUAAAAGCCGAGACAACCAAAUAAUUGAUUAAUAAAGUUUAUAAAUUUUUAAAUUUCUUUACUUUUUCAUGUAUUGUGUGAAUAAAGUUUGAAAAUUGCGUAUACAUUUAAAUAUAGAUAAGAUCAAAAUACACCUCUGAGUUGUUUGAUUCUCAUAAAAUGCAGAAAUGUAAAAAAUUGAUAAUUAAGAGAAAUUAAGUUUAUAAAUAAUGAAACUUUAUUUUUUAAAAAAAAUCUGAAUGAAUAACAAUAGUGUUUUUGGACAUUUUUAUAGUAACUCUAAAUAUCACGAAUUUAUCAAAAUAAACAAAUUAGAAAAAAAAAAGAUAGGAAUCUUGAAUGUAGUUGAAAAAACUAGAAAAUAAUUAAAAAUCACAAAACGAACAAAAAAGAAACUGAAUUUUUUGCUUACCACGGAGUAAAAUGGUGUAAGCAUUCUCGAUUUGGUACGUCUCGUCGUAAGUUUCAGAAUGCUAUAUUAUACAUCCAAGACUAGCGCACGUAACUCAAGAUGCUAUAUUAUACAUCCAAGACUAGCGCACGUAACUCAAUUUAUUUAUAACUAGUGGAAAGUACCCUGCUAGUUCCACACAACUAUUUUAAAUUAUGAACACCAAAAGAUACUGGUCCUGCGAACCAUGCUACAUCAAGUACCAUUUCUAAUUGGAAUGCUACGCAUAUUGGAGAAAGUGUUCAAAAGUUUGAGUUUUGCAACAAUACGGGAAGCAUUACAGAUACGCUCAAGAAUGUUUUUACAAUCUCAAAAGUCUCCUGGUUGAUAUGAUGUCCAUUUCUUUUGUUGAUGUGGAUGCUAACCGAGAGACUGUCAGAGUUUUUUCAAAUACAAUUGUCCAUUGCUUAGAAGAUUUAAGUGCGAGGAGAUCUGACUUAAACAUCAAUCCGAUUGACGUACCUAGAGAUUGAUAGUUGCAAUUCAAUUGAAGAAAUUGAAAUUUCUGCCCAAAAAUCUUUUGUCACAUAACUAUCGUGGAUUGGAAAUCAAGUUCAGGAUUGACAAUGCUCCCUUGCUUUUUGAUGUAUCCCCUGGUAGGACAGUUGAUGGUCAGUUGAGAAAUCUUAUUAAUCCUUUCAGAAACUUUCUCCCACAGCUCGAGAAUCUGUAAUUAAACUUAACGGAGCCGGUUUGUAAUUUAAUAUUUUAAGCCAAUUGUCACAUUCAUAAGUACCAAGUGAAUUGCAACAAUUUAUGGAAAUGGGUGGGAAGCGUUAUAAUUUGCUCAAGAAUGUUUAACAAUCUUUAAAGUCCCCUGGUUUAUCUAACAACAUCAAGUCUUUGAAGUCUAUUUCUUUUGUCGAUGUGGAUGAUAACAGAUAGGUAGCUAGGUAACUUUAAAACUAAUAACAGAAAGAAAAAUUGAAUCUGAAGUGGAAAAUAGUCCUUCUCAGCUUGUCUGCUCCACAGAUAAUAAGCAGCAUAAAUCCACUGUGGAUGCACCAAAAACUUGUUGUGUUGCUCCGCCAACCGACGACCUUUUAUUCCUGGCCUUGAUGAGACGGAGACCACUUGUGCCACCGACAAGUUGUACACAUCCGUACAUGCAGCACCCAACUCGCCAGCCCUCCAUUUGAGUAAUGGAAAUUCAAAUUCCUUAUCAUCAACAUCCCUGCUAAAGAACAAUGUGCAACUUGCAAGAAUCUGCCUCCGAAUUUUCCCCAAGAAACACCUAACAUCUCCGCAAACCGGAUUCUCAAAAAACAACCCAUGAACUGUUUUCAGAACUCGAAGAACAUUCACAAGUGCCCCAUUCAACUCGUUCUCAUCAGUGUUCCUCUCAGAAAAGGAUUUCUGAAGAAUAUUAUUCUUCUUAUUUCUUCUCUCUUUAAAAUAAUUAUAGCUCCCCACCAACAUGAGAUGCUCUUUAUGAUCCUUCCAAACCUUCUCCGUGUCAUCAACGAUGACGACACCCCAUUCUUGUCCCAGAACCAAAUCACCGCUCUUCUUUCCCUUUUCUUUAAAAUCUCCGCGUGUUAUCAAUCUUGACCUGAUGUGGUACUCACACUUAAGAUCAAGCAAUUUAGCCAUCAUCACUGCGUAGGAUCGAAUCCCCGUGGUACAUAAAUAAAUUUCAUACAUCUUGCUCGCUUCUUUGAGAAAUUUUCGGAUGUAAGGCCUUAACUUGACCAAAAACAACUCACCAGCCAUCUUAAACAGGUCACCGUCUGAUGAAGAACUCCCUAGUUUCAUCAAAUAUUCACGAUCUUUGGAAGCUAAAAUGUCGAUGUCUACUGCAUGCAGCAAGGUAUGAUCUAAGUCCAGCACUAAGUGGAGUUUCUUCUGCCGAUACACCAUCUCCGAGUUCAUUUUUUUCCAAAGAGUAACUUUGUCUCUGCUAAUUAAGCUUUAAACCCUCGACUAAGAAGUUAAAUGAUAAGCCAUAUCCCUUUGCUAUUGUUCGUGCACAAGAUAAGCACACUCCAUGGUAAACUACGGGAUGUGAACGAGGACUGAAUAUGCAUACUGAGAUUAAUUUGGUAAGUGCAAUAGAAUUUAUGAAUAAAGUUUAUUAUGUAGCGCGCGCGCGCGCGCACAUACAUAUAUAUAUAUAUAUAUAUAAAACUACUUUUCCUUUAAAGGUUAGGAUUCCCUAUUCCAUCUCAUAUCCACUUUUCCUUUAAAUGUUAGGAUUCCUAUUUCAUUAGCUAUUGUUUUGCAAAUAACUACUCGUUUAUUAUGUAUGGGUAGGCCUGGAACACAUACAACGCAUUUUAAUUUUUUAUUCUAAAAUUGAACCAUCAUUGGCUUACAAUAUGAGCAAUCCAACGGUGGACAGAUUUUACGCUUAUAACCGGUUACCGAACCACUAUUAACAGGCAGUUAUUAAAGCUAAUGUUCACGUAGCACCCUUACUUUUAACUGAAUUUCAAAAUAAUCAAUUCAAAUUAGAAAACUAUUAAAGAUCCCCUUUAACUUUGCAAUGAAAAAUAUGCUUAAAUUAUGUAAUUUCUAAGCUAAUGAGAAUAAUAUUUAUAUUAAAAUAAAUAAAAAAUUAAUUAUAUUAUUUUAAUCUGACAUUAUAAGUUUUUUUUAUUAAAAAAUAUUUAAAACAUUUUUUGUUAAUUGUAUAAUAUUACAAUGCAGUUCAAAUGUAGCUAAAUCAUAUUACCCCUAAAUAUUUGAAAGGGAAAAAACCCAUAAUGCCCAUUAAGGAAAUCCCUACUUGCCAAUAUCGAAAGUAAAAUAAUUUUCCAUCCAACCGUUGGAUAGUUCUCAAAUAAAUAUAUUAUUGAUAAUACCAAGCUACAUAAUUCCCAAUAAAAUAUUAUUAGUACUACCAACUAAUAUUAAAAGUACAAUUAGAUCACAUUAUAAGGACACCGUGAAACAUCUCAAUAUUAGAAUAAUAGUCACGAAUAAUCUUAUGUAAAUUAUUUCAUGCAACUUUAUGUGAAAUUAAGUAAAUUAUUCUAUAUAGCAAUACCAUAUUUAUUCCUUUGUGCUAUAUUAUUUCUACGUUUAAAUUUAUCACUAUUUUCAAGCCACAAUAAUUUCUAUAAAUAGUUGUAAUGGACAUUUAUAUAUGUAAUGUUAAUAUUUGAUCUUAAUUUAUUAGUGUUAUCAUGAUUAAUGAAAUUAUAACACAACUUUAUUAUUGACGUUAUUAAUAGCUAUCAUUGUUAGCCAUUACUAUCAUUAUUAUUAUUAUUAGAGUUAGGAGUUGCUACAGUCAAAUUCUAGUACGUAACUAGCAAUAUAAUAUUGAUAAUUAUAAAUUCACAAUAACUGAAUUUGAGUAAUAUCCAUAUUAAAGAAAAAAGAACAUUGAAUAAUAUAUUUUUUUUUCAUAUUUUACAAUCAUAUAAUCUAGACAUGAUAAUUAUAUUUUUAGAUUUAUACCAAAUUAAUUUGUGUAAUAACGCGCAACGGAGGUGGUUACAUGAAAUAUAUAUACUAAUUGAUGUGCAAUUCAUUCAUAGGCAUUAUAAAGUUCAUUCACUAUUAAUACAUAAUAAAUCAAUUGUCAUUGAAAUGUAACUGUUUAAGAAUUAGUAUUAUGAACAGAAAUUUAUUGUUAAUAAUGAAAUAAAAUAAAAUAAAAUGACUCUUUUUUCUUGGGAUAAGGAGUCAUUUUUUAUUUAGGCGGCGAAACUACCGCCAUAAUGAAAUAUUUUUCAAACCUAUUUUUUUUACUAAAAAUAUAAAUACUUCGUAUUUUUCUACUUCAAAAACCCUAGCCACUCUAUCGAUUCAUCCCUCACACUGACACAUUCAAUACGAUCACCAACCACGAGAGCAGCCACCGCCGGAUGUCGUUGUUACCAAUACCCAAUACCCAGUUCAGGUAAUCAUUCAAAUAAAAUUUCAUUUUGUUGUUCACUAUCAACUAAUUCAGAUGAAAUCCUACACCUACCAGAAGGCCUUCAAUUUGUACCCAUUAAUAUGAAGAAAAGUUUUGAUAUCAUUGCCAUAUUUAUGAUCAUUCUGGUGACUUGUACAUCUCAAGUAUCAUUUGCUUAAAUAAUACCAAUGUUUAGUUGAAAAUGCUAGUCUAUGAUGACUCUUCAGGAGAAUCUAAUGAUCUUAACAAAGCGGGGUUUAUAAUUCUUGUCGAAUGUUAUCCAGUAUAAAUAAAUGAUGUAUAACUAUUUGUUUGGUGUACAAUUAUUUGUUAUGAAUAAUGAUGUACACAUAUACAAUAUACGACUGCUUCUUUACAUUUCUUCACAGAUUCAUUACUGAACAACCAAAUUAACAGCCGCUGUCACUACAUUAACACACUCGCUUAAGUUUUUUCAGAGAAGGUAUUUUCCGAUGCUGACUCCAUAUUUCUACUGUCUGUGAUAUUGAAUGACUUUUCAUGGGGUCUGUUAAUUUUUAAUUUAAUUUUCCAUCCGUUGGAUGCGAAUCUGCUGUACCGUACAUCCGCCUUGGCCGUACAGCAGUUUUAAUAUGUUGAUGAAACAGCUUUUUUUUUUUGGCACUAAUCAAAUAGGUUAAGUAGUAGUAUUAUUAUUACACAACUCAUUCCAAUAUGAUGUUCAGUCCACUAUUAACAUAGACAUAUUCCUCGUAAAAAUUUCGUAGAAAAAUUAUUCCUAAAGAUAGCCGAUUUCAUGAGUCACAAUAAUUAUUGCUUUUCAACUCUGUUUUUUGGGUCGGCAUCAUUUUCCUUGCUCUGCUCCUCUCUUGACUCCUCAGCUUGCUUCCUUUCUUCCUCAGCUUGCUUCCUUUCUGCUUCUUCCUUCCCUUCCUUGAGAGCUUGAAUCAAGCUUGAAAGGCAUUUCUCUACAUUGUCAGAUGGAGAUUUAGGCAUCAGAUUCUCAGCAACAUCGGCAGGUGUGAUCUUGGUAUCUUCCAUCAGCUUUUGAAUUGUUUCAAACAAUGUAUGAGUUUCCACAUUCAGAUAAUUCUUCGCAAGCACUUUGAAUCCCUGGAAUGUGCAGUAAGAGAGCUCUAUAUGUUUAUCCAUCCUGCCUCUUCUAAUCAAAGCUGGAUCAAGCUUCUCCACAUAAUUGGUGGUGAAAACAAUCAGCCUCUCCCCUCCACAAGCCGACCAUAGUCCAUCAAUAAAAUUCAGUAACCCUGAUAAAGUAACUUUGCUGCUGCCCUCUUCCUUUGGUUCCUUGCGCGAAAUCUCCUUAUCCAGCUUUUCUUUCUCAUCAUCCGACGACUUCUCAGCUUUCUUCUUCCUCUGACCUGUUAGUUCAAGCGAACAAUCUAUAUCUUCAAUCACAAUAAUUGACUUACUAGUCGUCUCAAUCAAAAGCUUCCUGAGCUCUGUAUUGUCCUUAACAGCUGUGAGCUCAAGAUCAUAAACAUCAUAAUUCAACAAAUUUGCCAUGGCAGCAAUCAUAGUAGACUUGCCAGUUCCUGGAGGACCAUAAAGAAGAUACCCUCUUUUCCAAGCCUUCCCAAUCCUUGCAUAAAAAUCUCUACUUUUGCUGAAAGUAACAAGAUCUUCAAUAAUCUCCAGCUUCUUCUCUGGCUCCAACGCCAUUGUCUCAAACGUUGCAGGAUGCUCAAACACAAUGUGACUCCACAUAGUUUGCUUGUAACUUGGCCACUUGUAACCAGGACUGUUUGUGUAAAGCUUCCUCUGCCGAUUUCUCACUCUGAUUUCUUUCCCUUCCUUCACUACAUGCUGCAAAUAAGACUCAGUUAUGAUCUCCCUAUACCGCUUAUGAAAUGUGAGCCUGUAGUAUCUCUUCUCCUGCUCAGGAUAAUAUGACAUGCCCCUCGUUGUUGACACGACUUUGCUUGAAACCCACCAAACUUUUACCCCGCGGAACUCGUCAGUAACUCUCUCAUACUCAUCCAUGCUAAGCACCAAGUUGCUGCUGUCUUUGCCCAUCUCAGCCUUGAGUCUUUUAGCACUCUUGGAUGAGUUGACGCUAAGAUAAGCCUCAACAGCAGCAUAAGCCUCGCUGCGCUUGAGGCGAUCACCCGUGAAUUCAUGGAUUGAAAUCUUGAUGUAAGGAUAAAAGAACCCCAUGAUUCUGUGCGUAUACUUUUCAAAGUGGCGGCGAACUUCAUAUGGGCAAUACUGGCGAAUGAUAGCCCACACAAACAUGAAACUUGCUAUUGUCGAACCCAUUGCUGCCAACAUCUCAGUCACUGUCGCUGGCACCAUCUUUCUUUGUUUUACAGUUGCUUUUACUCAGGCCAGGCCAAGCUAAGCGAAAAGAGUAUUGUAUUUGUGAUAAAGCUUUGUGAAUUGUGCUUCUUUUAUUCUGUUUGUUAGGCCUUCGAAUCAUAACAUUGUUAGUCCCUUAAAUAAAGUGAAGAAAGAGAAAACAGAGUAGGUAAGAGUAGAGAAUUGAGUCAUUACUAAACACCGCUUUUUAUGGACACAAGUGAUAUACGGGGAAAUUACCAUUUUCUCACUAUAAAUGUUUAAAAGGCUAAAAAUAUUAUAAAACUUUUAAAUCUAUCAAUUUUUUUAAUAUUGAUUACGCAUCAAAUUACUGUACAGCGGACCAUUACAUUGAUAUUUACAAUUAGAUAUAUGAUUGAGAUUUAUAUUAUUAAAUUAAAUUUUAUAAAGUCAAUUUUUUUAAUAUUGAUUACGCAUCAUAUUAUUGUACAGCAGACCAUUACACUGAUAUUUACAAUUAGAUAUAUAACUGAUAUUUAUAUUAUUAAAUUAAAUUUUAUAAAAUACAUGUCCAGAAAAAUAACUCUCACACACGAGCGAUGUCUCUACUCCACUAGCAUUUCACAAAGAAGAAAGAUUUUUAAAUUAACUUCACACAAUUAUGCAUAAUUAAGUAUAAAGUCGGGUCGGUCUUAGACAUCACUUGAUAAAUUUGGAAUCUGAAUUUUAUUAAAAAAUAUUUAUUAUUUUAAAUAUUUAUAUUUAUUUGACUCAUUUAUUACACAUAUAUAAAAUUUAAAACACUUAAAGUUUAUAUUUUCAUGUCAAAUUUUAUUGAAAUAAAUUUAAAACUUAUAAAAUUACCAAAAAAAUAUACACAUAUAAUAUUAAAAAAUAUAAAAUUUGGGUACCCGAAUUAAAAUUUGGCUCGAUGUCGAGCUUAAAAAACCCAGCCCAGACAUUUAAAAAUUACGUCUGGGCUGGAUCCGGGCAUUGCGAUACCCAAACUCGGCCCGAAGUUUUGCCAAUCAUGAGAAUUCGAACUACUGUUCUCACAAUCAUACUUAACUGUGGAGAUAAUUGUUCACCACUCAGCCAAAACCAAAAUCAAUCAUUUUUUAAACCAUACAUAAAAUUUUUUAAAAAGUAUUAUUGUUACAGCUUCCCCAUAAAUCUGUCAGAGAAUCUAUGUCAAAAGAUUAUUUUACGCUACGAAUUUAAUUUAACAUUAUGAUGCAAGGUAUUCUUAAAUAAUGAAUUAAAUAAGGCAAAUAGUGUGAAUUUUGUUUCGAAUGUCUGAACAAAAGUGAUGCAAACAUUUUGCGAAAUGUGCAUCAAGGAUCUGUUUAAAUUCUAUUAUUUGAUUAUGAAUGGAAUAGAAUUCAGUUGGUGCGUCUACGUGGACCGCGAUAGAAAAAGACAAAUGAUGCAGUCGGCGAGUCCACACCAUGUGCUGUAAAUAAAAACAAGUCACAUUUUGAUCCGCUUAAUGACAAAGAAAGAAGGCAAAGUUAAGUGAAAAGUGGGACUUGGUUGACGUUGACGCUGAUUUUCAAAAUAAAGUGAACGAAUCUUGGAGGGGAUUGAUCUAAUCAUCUAUGCUUUGAUCUUGCUUGCUCAGAAAUUUCCAAGUCAUUCCCCAUCAAAUUUGUGGGGUUGAAAAGAUUGGGGAUUUGCUUGGGAAGAAUCACUCCCAAGAGACUGCACUCUGCACUCGUCUUUCAGCCUGCUGUCUAUCUGCAUGUAGCAUCAUCGGGGACGAAAGUAGGAAACUUCUGGGAAAUUUUUGAAACGUUUUGCAAUGAUAAUGAAAGCUGUGAAGUCAUCUCAUGACAAUAAGCAUGACGACACUCACUGCUUCGAACCUUAUUAUCAAAGUCAACAAAUGGGUGUGUAUGGGAGCUGGCUAAAGCUGGAACUGUAAGUUACAGAAUCCGUAACUUGCCAGCUCCCCGUUUCUAAUCUAUUAUUCAACAACUAUAAUAAAUUUAUAACACGUCCUUUCAAGAUUUGUAAAGCCGUAGCCACUAGCCAGCCAUAUCAUUUGUUCAACCUUAAAUCAUUGGAGCCUGUCGAGUGUCGAAAAUUCUAGAAAAUAAGAACGCAAAUAUCAAGGAGAAUAAUGGUUUUGUUCUGAUGUUUUUGUUUUUAAAUUUUUAGUAGAAUGAGAUACGUAUAACCAAAAAAACUUGGAGAUUGUUUGGACUCUGGCGAGUGGUGACCCGACCCAGAAAGUAGGUGUCAGCAAAUAUGUGGCCACUCAGUGUAAAGCAUUGUUAUUAUCAUUAUUAUUAAAGGACACCAGUAGUGGAAUAGACGAGUUAGUCAUGUUUUGGACUUCACUUUUUUGAUCAAUGGUUGAAAGGAGACAACCGCUCGAGUCAAAUCAACUCACGUGGGUUAGUCCUAUGAGCAUAAACUUUGGGGCAAGUACAAGUAACAUUGCAAAAAUUAUUGUUCUUUUUUCUUUUGUUUUGGAUUGUUUAUUUUUUUGGUACGGAGACAAAUAUUGCUAUUAUUAUUAUUCACCAAAACAAUAAUACCCCGCGUGACAAUGAUAUUACUCUUAUGACACUAAACUUGGGUAUUCAUUCAUUUGUCAUCUUUACCAUUUGCGCAAUAUGCCAAGUUUUAUAAUAAAUAAUUAUAAACUUGUAAAGAUCGCCCGCCGUCCAUUCAUGAAUAUUAUUUAAUGCACGCAGCCUAAAUGGAUUAGGCACUCACUCUUAAUAUCUUUUUGUUUUUGGAACAUGCACUUGUAAUACAUGGAUUCCUCCUCAUUCCUCAACCAAAAAGGCAAAUAAAGUAAGUUGGUAGUGUGACACAUGUUUUCAUUUAUUAAUUAUUUAAGGUCUUGGUGGUUGGUAGUAAAGAACAAAAACUUAUUAUCAAAAGUGCAGGUUUUAUAAUAGAUAAGGAUCCGUUUAAUAUUAGUUGAAAUAAUUUAAAUCUGUCUAAGCUGAAAAUAGUGUAUAUCAUUCUAAAGAAUGGAUAAGGUUGAUUUAGAUUAGUUAGAUGUUUUUUGAAUUAGCUUCUUAGGUGAGUUAGUUAGCCAAGGAAAGCUAAACGACUCCAGUUCAGUUGUGCGGAUGGUGUGGAGCUCCUUCAAAGCAACUGAGACAAAGGUAGUUUUUGAACAGCUGUGGUUGUUCCAGUGCAUAAACUAAGCUGUUGUUAGUGCUAAUUGCUGUGAUGAAGUGAAAGCCUAUUGUAUUCACAUGAGCUUUUAGAAAAAGAAAGGUGCAUUGAGCUCUACGAAGAACGCGGCAUCGGCGUUCAUGGAUACGCUACGUUCGAUCAUAACCAUCACCUUUUGCAUUUUCAGAGCUUUAGAUUCUUGAUAUCUUCCUCAUUGGCAAACCAGUCUGGUAUUAUCCGUGCCAAAUGAGGGAAAAGAUCUUUGUAGACAUUCUUGAUGGUCCCUUCUGCUACUCUCGUAACAAUGGAGAUCUCUGCAAAAACAGGGGCAUGAAUGGCAUCUGAGUAAGCAUAAUUUCUAAAAGAAUUGAUAGCUUUCUAACCUUUGAGAGGCUUUGUGUCAUUUGAUAGCUGAGUUAUGAUGUAAAUAACAGCUGCCGCCACUGAGAUCGGGCUUCUCCUGUGAAAGCAAGCAAGAAUUUUGUUUUACCCAAAGCCAAUGACACCAUCUACAUACACUAUUCAUUUAUGAUUAAUUUUCUAAUGGAGUUGUUAAAAAAUUUCACAGAGAGAGAGGGAGAGACUGCUGUACCGUACAUCCCCCUUGGCCGUACAGCAGUGUGAAUUUUGUUUCGAAUGUCUGAACAAAAGUGAUGCAAACAUUUUGCGAAAUGUGCAUCAAGGAUCUGUUUAAAUUCUAUUAUUUGAUUAUGAAUGGAAUAGAAUUCAGUUGGUGCGUCUACGUGGACCGCGAUAGAAAAAGACAAAUGAUGCAGUCGGCGAGUCCACACCAUGUGCUGUAAAUAAAAACAAGUCACAUUUUGAUCCGCUUAAUGACAAAGAAAGAAGGCAAAGUUAAGUGAAAAGUGGGACUUGGUUGACGUUGACGCUGAUUUUCAAAAUAAAGUGAACGAAUCUUGGAGGGGAUUGAUCUAAUCAUCUAUGCUUUGAUCUUGCUUGCUCAGAAAUUUCCAAGUCAUUCCCCAUCAAAUUUGUGGGGUUGAAAAGAUUGGGGAUUUGCUUGGGAAGAAUCACUCCCAAGAGACUGCACUCUGCACUCGUCUUUCAGCCUGCUGUCUAUCUGCAUGUAGCAUCAUCGGGGACGAAAGUAGGAAACUUCUGGGAAAUUUUUGAAACGUUUUGCAAUGAUAAUGAAAGCUGUGAAGUCAUCUCAUGACAAUAAGCAUGACGACACUCACUGCUUCGAACCUUAUUAUCAAAGUCAACAAAUGGGUGUGUAUGGGAGCUGGCUAAAGCUGGAACUGUAAGUUACAGAAUCCGUAACUUGCCAGCUCCCCGUUUCUAAUCUAUUAUUCAACAACUAUAAUAAAUUUAUAACACGUCCUUUCAAGAUUUGUAAAGCCGUAGCCACUAGCCAGCCAUAUCAUUUGUUCAACCUUAAAUCAUUGGAGCCUGUCGAGUGUCGAAAAUUCUAGAAAAUAAGAACGCAAAUAUCAAGGAGAAUAAUGGUUUUGUUCUGAUGUUUUUGUUUUUAAAUUUUUAGUAGAAUGAGAUACGUAUAACCAAAAAAACUUGGAGAUUGUUUGGACUCUGGCGAGUGGUGACCCGACCCAGAAAGUAGGUGUCAGCAAAUAUGUGGCCACUCAGUGUAAAGCAUUGUUAUUAUCAUUAUUAUUAAAGGACACCAGUAGUGGAAUAGACGAGUUAGUCAUGUUUUGGACUUCACUUUUUUGAUCAAUGGUUGAAAGGAGACAACCGCUCGAGUCAAAUCAACUCACGUGGGUUAGUCCUAUGAGCAUAAACUUUGGGGCAAGUACAAGUAACAUUGCAAAAAUUAUUGUUCUUUUUUCUUUUGUUUUGGAUUGUUUAUUUUUUUGGUACGGAGACAAAUAUUGCUAUUAUUAUUAUUCACCAAAACAAUAAUACCCCGCGUGACAAUGAUAUUACUCUUAUGACACUAAACUUGGGUAUUCAUUCAUUUGUCAUCUUUACCAUUUGCGCAAUAUGCCAAGUUUUAUAAUAAAUAAUUAUAAACUUGUAAAGAUCGCCCGCCGUCCAUUCAUGAAUAUUAUUUAAUGCACGCAGCCUAAAUGGAUUAGGCACUCACUCUUAAUAUCUUUUUGUUUUUGGAACAUGCACUUGUAAUACAUGGAUUCCUCCUCAUUCCUCAACCAAAAAGGCAAAUAAAGUAAGUUGGUAGUGUGACACAUGUUUUCAUUUAUUAAUUAUUUAAGGUCUUGGUGGUUGGUAGUAAAGAACAAAAACUUAUUAUCAAAAGUGCAGGUUUUAUAAUAGAUAAGGAUCCGUUUAAUAUUAGUUGAAAUAAUUUAAAUCUGUCUAAGCUGAAAAUAGUGUAUAUCAUUCUAAAGAAUGGAUAAGGUUGAUUUAGAUUAGUUAGAUGUUUUUUGAAUUAGCUUCUUAGGUGAGUUAGUUAGCCAAGGAAAGCUAAACGACUCCAGUUCAGUUGUGCGGAUGGUGUGGAGCUCCUUCAAAGCAACUGAGACAAAGGUAGUUUUUGAACAGCUGUGGUUGUUCCAGUGCAUAAACUAAGCUGUUGUUAGUGCUAAUUGCUGUGAUGAAGUGAAAGCCUAUUGUAUUCACAUGAGCUUUUAGAAAAAGAAAGGUGCAUUGAGCUCUACGAAGAACGCGGCAUCGGCGUUCAUGGAUACGCUACGUUCGAUCAUAACCAUCACCUUUUGCAUUUUCAGAGCUUUAGAUUCUUGAUAUCUUCCUCAUUGGCAAACCAGUCUGGUAUUAUCCGUGCCAAAUGAGGGAAAAGAUCUUUGUAGACAUUCUUGAUGGUCCCUUCUGCUACUCUCGUAACAAUGGAGAUCUCUGCAAAAACAGGGGCAUGAAUGGCAUCUGAGUAAGCAUAAUUUCUAAAAGAAUUGAUAGCUUUCUAACCUUUGAGAGGCUUUGUGUCAUUUGAUAGCUGAGUUAUGAUGUAAAUAACAGCUGCCGCCACUGAGAUCGGGCUUCUCCUGUGAAAGCAAGCAAGAAUUUUGUUUUACCCAAAGCCAAUGACACCAUCUACAUACACUAUUCAUUUAUGAUUAAUUUUCUAAUGGAGUUGUUAAAAAAUUUCACAGAGAGAGAGGGAGAGACUGCUGUACCGUACAUCCCCCUUGGCCGUACAGCAGUGUGAAUUUUGUUUCGAAUGUCUGAACAAAAGUGAUGCAAACAUUUUGCGAAAUGUGCAUCAAGGAUCUGUUUAAAUUCUAUUAUUUGAUUAUGAAUGGAAUAGAAUUCAGUUGGUGCGUCUACGUGGACCGCGAUAGAAAAAGACAAAUGAUGCAGUCGGCGAGUCCACACCAUGUGCUGUAAAUAAAAACAAGUCACAUUUUGAUCCGCUUAAUGACAAAGAAAGAAGGCAAAGUUAAGUGAAAAGUGGGACUUGGUUGACGUUGACGCUGAUUUUCAAAAUAAAGUGAACGAAUCUUGGAGGGGAUUGAUCUAAUCAUCUAUGCUUUGAUCUUGCUUGCUCAGAAAUUUCCAAGUCAUUCCCCAUCAAAUUUGUGGGGUUGAAAAGAUUGGGGAUUUGCUUGGGAAGAAUCACUCCCAAGAGACUGCACUCUGCACUCGUCUUUCAGCCUGCUGUCUAUCUGCAUGUAGCAUCAUCGGGGACGAAAGUAGGAAACUUCUGGGAAAUUUUUGAAACGUUUUGCAAUGAUAAUGAAAGCUGUGCUAUUAGUUUUCAACCAAAAAACUUUCCUCCUCAACAUAACCCAUCUAGUAUAGUUUUCUAGUCCAGAAUCUUAAAGUGCAGGAAAAGUCCGGAAUAACUUUAAAACUGCGGGGUUUUAAAGGCUUACAACUUGAAACACUUAAACCGCACAGUUUAUCCGUUUUUCCGGACAUUCUCGCACUUUAAAAUUCUAAAUUGGAACAUAAAUAAAUGUUUCAAUUCAGGAUCUUAAAGUGCGGGAAAAACCACAUGGUUUUAAAGGCUUAAAAUUGUAGGCCUUUAAAACUAUGCGGUUUUAAAACUUUCCCGCACUUUAAAAUUAUGAACUAGAAAACUACUAUAUCUAUAUAAUAUCAUAUAUCAUAUAAUAUCAUAUCAUAUAAAUAUUAAUAGGAAAAUUAUUUGGGAGGCAGCAAGAUGCAGAAUUACAUGUAACCACUAAUGAUUAAAUCCAAAUUACCUCUUAUUUGUAACUUCUAUCAAUAAACCACUUUUUGUUGAAUUUGAAUAAAAGAUGUUAAAAAAUCUUUAUUAAAAUAUCCAUUUUCCCUUGAUAUUGUUUAAAAAUGUUAAAAAAAAAAAAUUAUUACCCAUUGAAGCAAGUUUGCAACUGCGAAAAUUAAAAACAGCAGUUGCUUAUGCCAAAAAAUAAAAAAUCAGAAAAGAAAAGGCAUGCUCCCGGUUAGGUAGAGAUUUUUGUUGUGACAAUUCUUUAUUAAAUGAUUAACUCAAAACUGAUUGGCUCUUGUCAUACAAUUAUUCUACUAGUUUCAGCAUACGAGAAGUAUUAGAUCUUAUUGCUUCUCUAUUAAUUAAUACUUGGUGCGUCAGGUAAUGGAAUGAAAGAAAUUAAAUUUUUUUUUUUGGCUGAAGCUUCCAAUUAUCGGAGAUGGCUAGCCGAACAAUAACCUUCGGCUCUAGGAAUGAGUUGGAACCAUCCGUAAGACACACAAGAUGAGAUACGUUGCCAAAACCCAUAUUUUCCUGAAGAUAGCCUUCAAUUAAUGGAUUGAAUAAUAAUCUAUCAUCAUGAAUUUUAAUAACUCUGGUGAUAAAAUCUCAAUAAGCUACUAGCUAGCUGAAAAUGGGUUCAAAAUUCCACGACCUUGAAAUUACAAGGUACUGAAACCUCAUUGAAGAUUUCAGAGUUUGUUGUAAACUGUACUUUCAAUGCAAAGAUCAGGGCAUUGGAAGGCAAGUGUUUCUAAUCUAUCCUAUUAUUGUGGACAGGGUCUACUUCUAGCGUAAGAAACGGUCUCCCUAGAACUGGGAUAGAGUCUCAUAAGUAUGUGUACCUUAAUUUAAAUAUAUAUAUAUAUAUAUAUUUUACGGAUGUAAGUCUAGAGAAAUAAGAAUAGACGACUCUUCAAUUAACGAAAUUAAAAGAUUUUGUCAUUUAGAUUUCAUGGACCAAAAAUCAAAUCAAAAUUUGAGAAUAUUAUGCAGCUUAUUGAUUUCUCACUCGGCUGUAAUGCUAGGACUGAAUGAGGAAUCUUAUUUAUCCAGUCAUAAAUGUUCCGUGAGAAUUGAUGAAUUGGAUAAUUAAUCAUCAUUAACAAACUAGUUCCCUCAUCCCUGAGAAUCUAUGGAUUGGAUAAUUAAUCGUCAUCAACAAGCUGGCUACUAGGUAAAGGUUUACGGAUUCAUUUUUCGUUGACUUUGAAAUCACUAAGUAUAUAAUAGGAGAAUAGACUACUUCAACUCUUUUUAAUAUGUUGAUUUGUUUGUUUCAAAUAUCAACUCCAAGAAAUUACUUAAACAAGAAGAAACGGCUCAUUAUCUUGACGUAGUACUUCUGUAAAGUGUAUUUAAUUAAUUUUCAACCUGUAGCUACAUAUCAAAGCUGGAGUUUAUAUCCCAGAAUCAGAUAGCCAAAAGCAACAAGAAAUAACUUCAUACUCUCGCUUGACCAAGUACAUACUUCUACCACGUCUUCAAUUUCAAUCUUUUUUUUUUCCGUCGCCAUAUCAAAUUAAAAGCAGCUUAGAUCUUUGUUAACACACGCUUUACAAAGCCAAAAAGCCAACAAUUAAAUAAUCUCAUUAUUCUGAUUCUGAUCCUACAAUUUGCUAUUAAAAACUUUUUUUUCAAUCAAACUAUAUGUUGAAUGUAUUUAGUAUUAUGAACAAUUUAAUUGAAAAAUCUAGCACGCUGCUUCAAUAUCAUAUUGCAUCUUAGUCUAAAAAUUAUCGUCCUCAAUAUCAUAUCUGAUGCAUUAUUUUUAUUAAGUUUUGUUUGAUAGUUAUAGUUUUUUUCUACAGCAGCAGUAGCUUAAAAAGUACAUCACCUCAAUCCCAAAUGAACCUUAGUAUCAUAGUUGUGCAGCUGUAGCUUCGGUUAUAGUACUUGUGUUUGGUUUGAAGAAAUGAAAGAAAAUAAGAUGAGAGAAAAGGAGGAGAGGGUAAAUAAAUAAGGAGAAAAAAAGAUGAAUUUUGUGUCAAAAUAAACAAUAAAAUUGAGAUUGAUUUUUUUUUUUAACCUCAUUUCCUCUUGAGCAUAUAUGUUGGACUUAUAAAUUUAUGUUUGGAUGUAAAUUGUUUGAUAAAUUCCUAUUGUUGUGGUUUGGAAAUUAGGUUAAUUUGAUUUAACAUUUAUAUAAUAAACCACUUACAGUAUCUUUAUUAUAUUUUUAUCAAAACUUUCAUUUAAAAGUCAUAUUUAUUAUAUACUAAUAACUUUUAUUUCAUGAUGAUAGAUGCAGCACUUCAAAACCAAAAUAAGACCAUAUAUUUUUAUAACUUCUCUUAUCAGAAUAUGAAUGUUGCUUGCACGCAUUAACAAUUCCACUAGUUGCCGGUUCAUAAUUAUCACGUCAACUCUUAAAAAAAGGGCGCACUGCCGGUUCAUAAUUAUCUGCACAAAGUACAUUAUUCUAGCAUUAAAUUUUAAAUAUCUUUCAGUGCCUUUAAAAAUUAAACAUUCAAACUACGUAGUUAUAUUGUCAGAAAGCCAAAACAAUGAGACGUUCUUUUUGGUUCAUUAUCUUUCCCGGUUGCAAAGGCCAGGUUACGUAACAAUUUAAAUAAUCUGUACGCGCUAUCCGAAUUCAGAAAGUCAACAAACCUCAUCGAUCUGCCAAUUCUUUGGCAUUAAUAUUUUACUUAAUUCAAAGUAAUGUUAAUCACGCUUUCAGGCUCCAAGGAUUAAUAUAAAUAGAUCCAUCAUCUUCCUUUAAAUCAACAACUAAAGACUACUUGCAGCCAUUAAUUGUGUAAAUUUAGAUUUUAAUCACAACCAUGAUUUCUUCUUCAUCAACGUCACUCAUUGGGCUGCUAUGCUGCCUGAUAGUGUUAUUGAUUCUCCCUUUCCCUUCCCAUGCAAGUGACCCUGAUCCUUUACAAGACAUCUGUGUUGCGGAUUUGAAUGCUUCCGGCUCUAUUAAUGGUUUCCCCUGCAAACCUGAGUCAGAAGUAACUUCUGAUGAUUUCUUCACGGAUUUUUCCAAAGAAGCAGCUACUUUUGAUGUCUUUAAACGUGGAGCUACACUCGGUGAUGUUUUUGGCUUUCCAGUGGUCAAUACUCAAGGAGUUUCACUCUUCCGAAUUGACUUGGGUGUCGGUGGAAUAAACCCGCCUCAUACACACCCUCGUGGAACCGAGGCUGGUAUUGUUACUAGAGGAAAGGUGCUCGUAGGUUUAGUAACAACUAAUAAUACCUUUUUCUCAAAGGUUUUGACUCCCGGGAUGGUGUUCUUAAUUCCCAGAGCGCUGAUUCACUUCCAGCUGAAUGUUGGAAAGGGGCCGGCCACCUUUAUACCUAUUUUCAAUACUCAAAAUCCUGGCGUUUCGGACUCACUCACUACUCUUUUUGAUACAACACCCCCAAUUCCCAAUNNNNNNNNNNNNNNNNNNNNNNNNNNNNNNNNNNNNNNNNNNNNNNNNNNNNNNNNNNNNNNNNNNNNNNNNNNNNNNNNNNNNNNNNNNNNNNNNNNNNNNNNNNNNNNNNNNNNNNNNNNNNNNNNNNNNNNNNNNNNNNNNNNNNNNNNNNNNNNNNNNNNNNNNNNNNNNNNNNNNNNNNNNNNNNNNNNNNNNNNNNNNNNNNNNNNNNNNNNNNNNNNNNNNNNNNNNNNNNNNNNNNNNNNNNNNNNNNNNNNNNNNNNNNNNNNNNNNNNNNNNNNNNNNNNNNNNNNNNNNNNNNNNNNNNNNNNNNNNNNNNNNNNNNNNNNNNNNNNNNNNNNNNNNNNNNNNNNNNNNNNNNNNNNNNNNNNNNNNNNNNNNNNNNNNNNNNNNNNNNNNNNNNNNNNNNNNNNNNNNNNNNNNNNNNNNNNNNNNNNNNNNNNNNNNNNNNNNNNNNNNNNNNNNNNNNNNNNNNNNNNNNNNNNNNNNNNNNNNNNNNNNNNNNNNNNNNNNNNNNNNNNNNNNNNNNNNNNNNNNNNNNNNNNNNNNNNNNNNNNNNNNNNNNNNNNNNNNNNNNNNNNNNNNNNNNNNNNNNNNNNNNNNNNNNNNNNNNNNNNNNNNNNNNNNNNNNNNNNNNNNNNNNNNNNNNNNNNNNNNNNNNNNNNNNNNNNNNNNNNNNNNNNNNNNNNNNNNNNNNNNNNNNNNNNNNNNNNNNNNNNNNNNNNNNNNNNNNNNNNNNNNNNNNNNNNNNNNNNNNNNNNNNNNNNNNNNNNNNNNNNNNNNNNNNNNNNNNNNNNNNNNNNNNNNNNNNNNNNNNNNNNNNNNNNNNNNNNNNNNNNNNNNNNNNNNNNNNNNNNNNNNNNNNNNNNNNNNNNNNNNNNNNNNNNNNNNNNNNNNNNNNNNNNNNNNNNNNNNNNNNNNNNNNNNNNNNNNNNNNNNNNNNNNNNNNNNNNNNNNNNNNNNNNNNNNNNNNNNNNNNNNNNNNNNNNNNNNNNNNNNNNNNNNNNNNNNNNNNNNNNNNNNNNNNNNNNNNNNNNNNNNNNNNNNNNNNNNNNNNNNNNNNNNNNNNNNNNNNNNNNNNNNNNNNNNNNNNNNNNNNNNNNNNNNNNNNNNNNNNNNNNNNNNNNNNNNNNNNNNNNNNNNNNNNNNNNNNNNNNNNNNNNNNNNNNNNNNNNNNNNNNNNNNNNNNNNNNNNNNNNNNNNNNNNNNNNNNNNNNNNNNNNNNNNNNNNNNNNNNNNNNNNNNNNNNNNNNNNNNNNNNNNNNNNNNNNNNNNNNNNNNNNNNNNNNNNNNNNNNNNNNNNNNNNNNNNNNNNNNNNNNNNNNNNNNNNNNNNNNNNNNNNNNNNNNNNNNNNNNNNNNNNNNNNNNNNNNNNNNNNNNNNNNNNNNNNNNNNNNNNNNNNNNNNNNNNNNNNNNNNNNNNNNNNNNNNNNNNNNNNNNNNNNNNNNNNNNNNNNNNNNNNNNNNNNNNNNNNNNNNNNNNNNNNNNNNNNNNNNNNNNNNNNNNNNNNNNNNNNNNNNNNNNNNNNNNNNNNNNNNNNNNNNNNNNNNNNNNNNNNNNNNNNNNNNNNNNNNNNNNNNNNNNNNNNNNNNNNNNNNNNNNNNNNNNNNNNNNNNNNNNNNNNNNNNNNNNNNNNNNNNNNNNNNNNNNNNNNNNNNNNNNNNNNNNNNNNNNNNNNNNNNNNNNNNNNNNNNNNNNNNNNNNNNNNNNNNNNNNNNNNNNNNNNNNNNNNNNNNNNNNNNNNNNNNNNNNNNNNNNNNNNNNNNNNNNNNNNNNNNNNNNNNNNNNNNNNNNNNNNNNNNNNNNNNNNNNNNNNNNNNNNNNNNNNNNNNNNNNNNNNNNNNNNNNNNNNNNNNNNNNNNNNNNNNNNNNNNNNNNNNNNNNNNNNNNNNNNNNNNNNNNNNNNNNNNNNNNNNNNNNNNNNNNNNNNNNNNNNNNNNNNNNNNNNNNNNNNNNNNNNNNNNNNNNNNNNNNNNNNNNNNNNNNNNNNNNNNNNNNNNNNNNNNNNNNNNNNNNNNNNNNNNNNNNNNNNNNNNNNNNNNNNNNNNNNNNNNNNNNNNNNNNNNNNNNNNNNNNNNNNNNNNNNNNNNNNNNNNNNNNNNNNNNNNNNNNNNNNNNNNNNNNNNNNNNNNNNNNNNNNNNNNNNNNNNNNNNNNNNNNNNNNNNNNNNNNNNNNNNNNNNNNNNNNNNNNNNNNNNNNNNNNNNNNNNNNNNNNNNNNNNNNNNNNNNNNNNNNNNNNNNNNNNNNNNNNNNNNNNNNNNNNNNNNNNNNNNNNNNNNNNNNNNNNNNNNNNNNNNNNNNNNNNNNNNNNNNNNNNNNNNNNNNNNNNNNNNNNNNNNNNNNNNNNNNNNNNNNNNNNNNNNNNNNNNNNNNNNNNNNNNNNNNNNNNNNNNNNNNNNNNNNNNNNNNNNNNNNNNNNNNNNNNNNNNNNNNNNNNNNNNNNNNNNNNNNNNNNNNNNNNNNNNNNNNNNNNUUUUUUUUUUUUUUUAAUCGCCAUGUCAAAUUAAAGGCAGCUUGAAUCUUUAUUAACACAAAGAAUUUUCAAAGUCAGAAAAGCCAUCUAACGAUCUCAUCCUGAUUCUGAUCCUACAAUUUGCCAUUAUUUUACUAAAUUCAAAGUAAUGUUAAUCACGCUUUCAGACUCCAAGAGUAGUAUAAAUAGAUCUAUCAUCUUCCUUUCAAUCCACCAACGCAAAAGGACCCACAGCUAUUAAUUGAUCCUACUCACAGUUAACCAUGUAUUCUUCAUCAGCGUCACUCUUUGAGCUGCUAUGCGGCCUGAUAGUGUUAUUGCUUCUCCCUUUCCCUUCCCAUGCAAGUGACCCUGAUCCUUUACAAGACGUCUGUAUUGCGGACUUGAAUGCCCCCAUCUCUAUCAAUGGUUUCCCCUGCAAACCUGCUUCAGAAGUAACUUCUGAUGAUUUCUUCACUGAUUUUUCCAAAAAUCCGACCACAUUUGAUGUCUUUAAGCGUGCAGUUACACUUGGUGAUGUUUCUGGCUUUCCAGCGGUCAAUACUCAAGGAGUUUCACUCUUCCGAAUUGACCUGGAUGUAGGUGGAAUAAACCCACCUCAUACACAUCCUCGUGGAACUGAGGCUGGCAUUGUUACUCGAGGAAAGGUGCUUGUUGGGUUAGUAACAACUAAUAAUACCUUUUUCUCAAAGGUUUUGACUCCUGGGAUGGUGUUCUUAAUUCCCAGAGCACUGAUUCACUUCCAGCUAAAUGUUGGAAAGGGGCCGGCCACCUUUAUACCUAUUUUCAAUACUCAAAAUCCUGGCGUUUCGGACUCACUCACUACUCUUUUUGAUACAACACCCCCAAUUCCCAAUGAAGUGCUGACCAAAUCGUUUCGAGUAAGUGAUGAUGUGAUAAAUGCCAUCAGAAAAGCCCGGGCAUCAAACUAGUAAUCGAUCCGGCUAGGUUAACAUCCUGGAUGCUUGAUCAAUAUGCUUUAGUGUGCCAACAUAUAUAUACUAAUAAAUGGGAUUUAUUUUAUGUUACAAUUAUUGAUUAAAGAAUAAAGUCGAGACGACCAAUAGUUAUUGAAUAAGGAAAGUGUGAUUUUUUUUUCUCAUUUCUUCUUCUUUUACUUUUUUAUUUUUCCAUGGCAUUAUCUGAGCAAUUUGUUGCUUCCAUCGGCCUCGUUCAUUGGUAUUUCCUUGUAGGCUUCAAAUAAUCUUUUAUAAUCCGAAAUUUCAUUCCUGUAAUUUCAGCCUCUCAAUAUCCAUUAAUGGUACCCGUGCAAUAAUUAUUGAAUAAAAAAUGUCUAAUACUUAUUAAUUUUUUUGUCUUGUUAAUUUUUUUUCAUGGGUCAUUCUAUUUGAUACCGCGAUAAAAUAAUUCGAUAAAUAUGUCAAAAAUAAAAUUACCAGUUAAAUAGAAAACAUACUGAAAUCAAACCCGUUCAUUGCUUUAUUAUUUUUUUGUUCUCCCUAUUCAACCGAACCAAUUGAAAGUGAUAGUGACGAUUACGUGGAAUAUUUGGGGGGCACGAAAUAAGCUAUUAUUCAGAAGGCAAUUUAGUUCACCACAAGCCAUCUAUGCACGGGCUCAAAGAAUUUUCGAAUCUUUUGGGAGUUGUGGUGUGGCUAUUCUUGAUUCUAAUUUGAGUAGUGUCGUGUGUGGGGAUGAUAGUGUUGUGCGGUAGUUGCCACUAGUAGGUUGGGUGAAAUUAAGUGUAGACGCAGCAGUUGAUCUAGCUCGGGGUGCAGUGGGUUACGGCGCCGUUGUGCCAAAUCAUGAAGGUUUGGUGAUGGCUACGGGAACUUUUCAUGUGGUUUUUUCUGAUGAGGUUGAUAUCACAGAGGCAGAAUCCUUGCGCUUUGGUUUACAGUUCGCUAGUGCAGCUGGUUUAUUUUGUUAACAGUUGCAGUCAAAUUUGCUUCAAGUCAUAGAACUAUUUUAAAUCUUUUCGGAGGUUCUUUGAAUUAUUUCUGAGCUGAAGCAAUUGCAAUUACCAAAGCAAAUGCAUUAGCUAAAUGUUCUAUGUAGUUUUUUAUUCUUAUAUUUGGUGGGAAGAUUUUCCACCACAUUUAAAUUGCUAACUUGAGUGUAUUAUGAUUCUGAUUCUAAUAAAGUUUUUAUCUCACCAACCCAAAAAAAAAAUUGAAAUAAUAAAAAUAAUGAAUAACUUAUUUAAGCCCCCGUUUGGUAUAACUUUUCAAGUAGAGCUUAUUUGAGUAGAGUUUUUAUUAAAAAAAAUUUAGUUGUUUAAUUGUCAAUUAAAGUUUUUAUUAAAAAUUUAUUAAAUUACUUUAAUAGAAAAGUUUUUUAAAGUUAUGUCAUGAAAAAAAUAAAAUAAGAUUGUAAAAUAAGUAAAGGAGAUUUUAGAUAUUUUCUCUUAAAACUCGAAAUUUGAGCUUUUGUUAAUAGAGGUAAAAUAGAUUAUUUAAACUUCAAAAGUUCUAUUAGAAAAACAACCAAACAACACCAAAAAUUAUUAUAAGAGCUUAUGAGAUUAAAUAAGCACUUAUGGUCAUUGAAUAAGUCAUACCAAAUAAUCGCAUAGUACUUAUUUAUUAUUGAUUGUAAUUUUUUUUUUUAUAAGAGCUUAUGAGAUUAAAUAAGUGCUUAUGGCUCUUAAAUAAGCCAUACCAAACAGGCACUAAGUCAUACCAAAUAAUCACAUAGUACUUAUUUAUUAUUGAUUGUAAUUUUUUUAAAAAAAAUAAAUUUUAGUUUCUAAAAUUAGAUUUUAAUUUUUAUAUUCUAUUUUUGCAUUUAUAACGUACUUUUUUUUUUCCAUGUAUGUAUGUGAUAAAAGUACUCUGAAUUUAUUACGAUACAUUCCUCAUUCUUGAAAACGUACUAGUUCGCUAAAGCUUACAAAGGAAAGAAAUUGGUAUCAACCUUUUAGGAACCUUAAAAUUUUUAUAAACUCAUUAUCCUUUAUCUCUAAUUUGAGUUGAAAAACAAAUUAAAUCGUUUUUCUAUAUUCAUUUUGGUUUUGUAGUUGCACUUUAUUUUAUCCGUAGAACAUGGAUGAAGGAAUCAUAUCAUGAACUCCAAAUUUACCACAACAAUUGAUGCUCUUGUAACCCAUUCCCAAUUUAUUUGAUGCUCUUUUAACUCAAUUUAUUUGAUUAAAAAAAUUAUUAUUUUUAUUUAAAUUAUUUUUAAAAAAUUACGAUUAGUAAACAUUAUUAACUUUUUUAUUAUAGCUAGAUCUUUUUUACUUUCCAACAAUACCAAACAAAGCCUUCCACGGGCAUACAUUGUAGCUGAAACAUCACAAAAUCUUAUUCCAUAAUUUUUACGAGCAAGCUUUGUUUUAAAUGGCCGAGGAGCAACUGGGGUUCGUCCUGGUGCCCAUAGCUUUCGAAGUAACUCACCAAAUGCUACAGCUAGUUCACCCUAUAUAAGACCACUUCAACUCAGUAUUAUAACAAGACAACAAUCAUACACUCAUGAAAAAUCAUCAAGAGUGGAUGGACUUCUUAAAAUAAAUAGAUUUGAACAGAAAAAUAUUUUAUACAUAUCAACAAAUCAUUAAAGAUACAUAAAUUUAUGUCUGAAGAUUAUAUUUGGCUUUUUUUUUUUUCAUUUUAUGUAAAUUUGGGUGUUCCAAAAAUGAAACAAAAAUGUGUUUAGACAACAUAAGCUUAUGUAUAUAUUUUGGUAGUUACACAAUGAAACUCACAGUACUCCUAGUGAUAAAGUUUACUAACACCUAAUAACUUUUUUGUGAAGUUGAUUAUUUUAUAAGCACACGAAAUCUCUGUCCCUUAGCGUCUCUCCUAGAUAGUUGUGUGGAUGAGUUUUGAUGACUACGGUGGCGUUUGUUUUUUUAUCUGAAAUCUGAAUAGACCUGAAUUAGUCUGAAUUCUGAAUAGAUCUGAAUGUCUGAAUCUGAAUAAUAUGUUUGUUUUUUCGUCUGAAUCUCAAAAAAUAAGUAUUAAGUUGUUUGUUUUUUUCAACUAAAAAAGCUGAAAAUAUGUACUUUUACAUUUGUAUCCUUAUUAAAUUUGAAUGUCAAAUAAAUAAUAUAUUAAAUACCACAAUAUUUUAACAUUUAUAAGUAAAACUAUAUUUAAGUGAAUACAUAAUUAUUUUGGAAUUUUAAUAUAUAAAAUAUCAUAAAUUUCAAAUUUUAUCGUAUAUAAUAUAAGAAAGAAAAAACAGAGAUAUUUUUAUGUGGGGUAAAUGUCUAUGGGUGAGUUUUGGGAUAGACAUGAAAAAUAAAUUAUAAAACAUGGAUAUUUUUGACAUUAGUAAGUAAUUGACUUAAUUUAAAUUUUUUCAUUAAGUAAAAAGCCAAAAAAAUUGCCUUAUUUCAUUAAGUCAAAAUUAUCUAAAAAGUCUCAUUAAGUUAUAAAAACAAACACCUCUAAUUAACUUAAUUAAUUAAGUUAAGUCACUUUAAGUCAUUAAGUUAAAAAACAAACGCCACCUACAUUUUGUUCUUCUACUUUGAUAAAAAUGAUUCCGUCUUCUUCUCGUCCAACUUAGUUAAUCUAACAAAUUACUAAAGAGGAUGCAACUUUGACACUGAAUUUCAAUACCAAACAUAUAUUCUCUCUUCAACAGAAUCAUUAAGGCAUUUCAAACGCUUGGCAAGCAAGGCUAGCUUGUGCUAACAAAGAUACAUUUUGGAAUAGCUUCAAGAUAUUAAUAUUCUGUUACAUGAAUUAAAUUUGGUGUUAUGUUGAUGAUUGAGAAUAGAAGGAACUCGCGCCGAUUUGUAAUGUAUUCACGAAAUGUUGCUUGCACGUCUCAAUAAAUCCAUUUUUUAAAAAAAUAUAUAUAUAUGAAUUGAUUUAUAGUUGGUGCAACAGGUUAUGCAGUCAAUGAAUACAUAUGUUAUUCACGUUCGCAAGCAUUAGAUUAACUUUGUUAAUGACUCUGGAAUGUAUUAAGAAAUCUAAAAUUGUUUGAUGAUAUACGUUUAUCUAAAAGGAAUUAAGGAAAGGGUCAAGUUUGGCGGUUGAAUAGCUCGGGAUCAACGGCCAUGUCAAAGUUAAUUAAUAAACCCAAGCAUAUUCUGCUGAUCAUAAUUAAUGGAAGGGAUCGAUUGGCUAUCACACUACUCCGCAGUUGACAUUGAAGUUUGUCAUUGAAGUAUGUCUUCUUCAAACAUUCCCGCGGAAGGUUGCGUGUCAAUAUUUGACCACUAUGAAAUUACCGCGUAUUCAUUGACUACUUCACAUCUCAUUAUUGAAUGUUGUAGGAUGGUUGCAUAGGAUGAGUAGAGUAUUUUCCGGAGGUCAUAAUUUAGUUACAUGUGUCUAUUUUGGGGGUCAUAAUUUAGAUAUUUUAUUUCUUUUAUGAUUGUUUUGCCCUUUGAAGUUGUUUUCUUAUUUUUCCUGUUACUUCCAAAAUUUUAUUUUUAUUUUUUUUUAGAUGUCGGAUUUAGGCGUUGUUUGUUUUGUUGUCCUUAUUUAGAUUAUAAGAAUUUUAUUAUAAAAUAAUAUUUUAGAUUUACCUAUUUUAGUAAAUUCGCGAUAUUUAGAGUUAUUAUCAAAGGGCCCCAAAACCCCUAAUUUUGUCCAUUCACACUUUUGCAAUAAAAUUUUCAUUAUUUAGAAACCUAGUUUCUUUUUCAAUCCAACUUGUAUGCAUCAUCAACUUAAGUUUUAAAUUGCUUUUGAUUCAUCUAAAGAAGUUAAAAUUUCCCAAAAUCUUCUGUCUCAUAACUUUUAUGGGCCAAAAAAAUCAAAUUAGAAAUUCGAUCACAUUCCCCACCUUGUUGAUUAUAAAAGGAUAGAGAUUAUAAAAUUAAUUUAAAUCUUGCUCACUCUCUACUUCUCAUAAAAAUAAAAUAUAAAAACUACAAAAAUUAAUUGAUAAAAAAUUAUUUUUUUCCCCUUGGCAUAAAAAGGUUGCAUAUUGCUCAGAUAACUAUUAGUUUGAACGCACAAAGAUUCAAGGGUGGAGAUUUUUUUACUUUCCAAUCCAAUGGACAGAACCCUCUAUUGUAGAAAUUUCCAUUUUCUCAUAGCAUACCGAUGAACUGACAGUGGAGAUCCUAGAAACUAAUAAGCAAGCAAGAGAAGACAAACAGAAAAGUGAAAAAAAAAAAAAAAAUCUCCUUUGAUCAUGCAUGUUAUUUGAUCAUGGCCAUUCUUAUAAUAUAAUUACAACAAAAUAAUUCUAAUAUGAAUACGAGUAAAAAGCUUUACGAGCCUGAUCACUGUAUCGAGGACAAGAAUAUUGACUUCUCGAGUGAAAGUCACACGCCAUCUAGGCACUCUUAAGGUACAUUUAAGAUUUAGGUUGGUAAAUUGUAACUUAAAAGUUGCAACACUAAAGUAUUUGGUAAACACUAACUGCUAUAACUUGUAAGCUAUGUUGAUAUGAUUUUUCACUUGUAUAAUAAAAAUUAUUAUAUCUUUAAUAAUUUUGUCAAAAUUAUUAUGUAAAAUUUAUAUUUACUAUAUAUUAUUAAGUUUUGUUUGAUAGUUAUAGUUGUUUUCUACAGCAGCAGUAGCUUAAAAGGUACAACACAUCAAUCCUAAAUGAACCUUAGCAUCAUAGUUGUGCAGCUGUAGCUUCGGUUAUAGUACUUGUGUUUGGUUUGAAGAAAUGAAAGAAAAUAAGAUGAGAGAAAAGGAGGAGAGGGUAAAUAAAUAAGGAGAAAAAAAAGAUGAAUUUUGUGUCAAAAUAAACAAUAAAAUUGAGAUUGAUUUUUUUUCUAACCUCAUUUCCUCUUGAGCAUAUAUGUUGGACUUAUAAAUUUAUGUUUGGAUGUAAAUUGUUUGAUAAAUUCCUAUUGUUGUGGUUUGGAAAUUAGGUUAAUUUGAUUUAACAUUUAUAUAAUAAAUCACUUACAGUAUCUUUAUUAUAUUUUUAUCGAAACUUUUAUUUAAAAGUUAUAUUUAUUAUAUACUAAUAACUUUUAUUUCAUGAUGAUAGAUGCAGCACUUCAAAACCAAAAUAAGACCAUAUAUUUUUAUAACUUCUCUUAUCAGAAUAUGAAUGUUGCUUGCACGCAUUAACAAUUCCACUAGUUGCCGGUUCAUAAUUAUCACGUCAACUCUUAAAAAAAGGGCGCACUGCCGGUUCAUAAUUAUCUGCACAAAGUACAUUAUUCUAGCAUUAAAUUUUAAAUAUCUUUCAGUGCCUUUAAAAAUUAAACAUUCAAACUACGUAGUUAUAUUGUCAGAAAGCCAAAACAAUGAGACGUUCUUUUUGGUUCAUUAUCUUUCCCGGUUGCAAAGGCCAGGUUACGUAACAAUUUAAAUAAUCUGUACGCGCUAUCCGAAUUCAGAAAGUCAACAAACCUCAUCGAUCUGCCAAUUCUUUGGCAUUAAUAUUUUACUUAAUUCAAAGUAAUGUUAAUCACGCUUUCAGGCUCCAAGGAUUAAUAUAAAUAGAUCCAUCAUCUUCCUUUAAAUCAACAACUAAAGACUACUUGCAGCCAUUAAUUGUGUAAAUUUAGAUUUUAAUCACAACCAUGAUUUCUUCUUCAUCAACGUCACUCAUUGGGCUGCUAUGCUGCCUGAUAGUGUUAUUGAUUCUCCCUUUCCCUUCCCAUGCAAGUGACCCUGAUCCUUUACAAGACAUCUGUGUUGCGGAUUUGAAUGCUUCCGGCUCUAUUAAUGGUUUCCCCUGCAAACCUGAGUCAGAAGUAACUUCUGAUGAUUUCUUCACGGAUUUUUCCAAAGAAGCAGCUACUUUUGAUGUCUUUAAACGUGGAGCUACACUCGGUGAUGUUUUUGGCUUUCCAGUGGUCAAUACUCAAGGAGUUUCACUCUUCCGAAUUGACCUGCAUGUAGGUGGAAUAAACCCGCCUCAUACACAUCCUCGUGGAACUGAGGCUGGUAUUGUUACUCGAGGAAAGGUGCUUGUUGGAUUAGUAACAACUAAUAAUACCUUUUUUCUCAAAGGUUUUGACUCCCGGGAUGGUGUUCUUAAUUCCCAGAGCGCUGAUUCACUUCCAGCUGAAUGUUGGAAAGGGGCCGGCCACCUUUAUACCUAUUUUCAAUACUCAAAAUCCUGGCGUUUCGGACUCACUCACUACUCUUUUUGAUACAACACCCCCAAUUCCCAAUAAAGUGUUGACGAAAUCUUUCCGAGUCAGUAAUGAUGUGAUCAACACCAUCAGAGCGGCCCGGGCAUCAAACUAGUAAUCGAUCCGGCUAGGUUAACAUUCUCGACACCUGAUGAUACCCAUUAUAAUGUCUCAGAACUAAUGAAUAAGAUUUAUUUUAUGUAAUAAUUGUUGAAUAAAGAAAAGAUGGUGGCGAUUUGCAUGCUAAAUGUACCUCGAAUUCCAUAUUAUGAUAAAGUUUUUUUUUUCCCCCUAAAUUUCUUUUUGUUCAAAUCAUAUGUUGAAUCAUGAACGUGUAAGUUAGUAUUAGGAUAAUUUAAUUGAACUAAAUAAAAUACAUGUUACUCUUGACACCAUCUAGCACAAUUAUUCAAAAUCCUAUUUGUUUUCAACCAAAAAACUUUUCUCCUCAACAUAACCCAUCUAGUAUAGUUUUCUGGUCCAGAAUCUUAAAGUGCAGGAAAAGUCCGGAAUAACUUUAAAACUGCAGGGUUUUAAAGGCUUACAACUUGAAACACUUAAACCGCACAGUUUAUCCGUUUUUCCGGACAUUCUCGCACUUUAAAAUUCUAAAUUGGAACAUAAAUAAAUGUUUCAAUUCAGGAUCUUAAAGUGCGGGAAAAACCACAUGGUUUUAAAGGCUUAAAAUUGUAGGCCUUUAAAACUAUGCGGUUUUAAAACUUUCCCGCACUUUAAAAUUAUGAACUAGAAAACUACUAUAUCUAUAUAAUAUCAUAUAUCAUAUAAUAUAAUAUCAUAUCAUAUAAAUAUUAAUAGGAAAAUUAUUUGGGAGGCAGCAAGAUGCAGAAUUACAUGUAACCACUAAUGAUUAAAUCCAAAUUACCUCUUAUUUGUAACUUCUAUCAAUAAACCACCUUUUGUUGAAUUUGAAUAAAAGAUGUUAAAAAAUCUUUAUUAAAAUAUCCAUUUUCCCUUGAUAUUGUUUAAAAAUGUUAAAAAAAAACAUUAUUACCCAUUGAAGCAAGUUUGCAACUGCAAAAAUUAAAAACAGCAGUUGCUUAUGCCAAAAAAUAAAAAAUCAGAAAAGAAAAGGCAUGCUCCCGGUUAGGUAGAGAUUUUUGUUGUGACAAUUCUUUAUUAAAUGAUUAACUCAAAACUUAUUGGCUCUUGUCAUACAAUUAUUCUACUAGUUUCAGCAUACGAGAAGCAUUAGAUCUUAUUGCUUCUCUAUUAAUUAAUACUUGGUGCGUCAGGUAAUGGGAUGAAAGAAAUUAAAUUUUUUUUUUUGGCUGAAGCUUCCAAUUAUCGGAGAUGGCUCAUGGCUGCUAGCCGAACAAUAACCUUCAGCUCUAGGAAUGAGUUGGAACCAUCCGUAAGACACACAAGAUGAGAUACGUUGCCAAAACCCAUAGUUUCCUGAAGAUAGCCUUCAAUUAAUGGAUUGAAUAAUAAUCUAUCAUCAUGAAUUUUAAUAACUCUGGUGAUAAAAUCUCAGUAAGCUACUAGCUAGCUGAAAAUGGGUUCAAAAUUCCACGACCUUGAAAUUACAAGGUACUGAAACCUCAUUGAAGAUUUCAGAGUUUGUUGUAAACUGUACUUUCAAUGCAAAGAUCAGGGCAUUGGAAGGCAAGUGUUUCUAAUCUAUCCUAUUAUUGUGGACAGGGUCUACUUCUAGCGUAAGAAACGGUCUCCCUAGAACUGGGAUAGAGUCUCAUAAGUAUGUGUACCUUAAUUUAAAUAUAUAUAUAUAUAUAUAUUUUACGGAUGUAAGUCUAGAGAAAUAAGAAUAGACGACUCUUCAAUUAACGAAAUUAAAAGAUUUUGUCAUUUAGAUUUCAUGGACCAAAAAUCAAAUCAAAAUUUGAGAAUAUUAUGCAGCUUAUUGAUUUCUCACUCGGCUGUAAUGCUAGGACUGAAUGAGGAAUCUUAUUUAUCCAGUCAUAAAUGUUCCGUGAGAAUUGAUGAAUUGGAUAAUUAAUCAUCAUUAACAAACUAGUUCCCUCAUCCCUGAGAAUCUAUGGAUUGGAUAAUUAAUCGUCAUCAACAAGCUGGCUACUAGGUAAAGGUUUACGGAUUCAUUUUUCGUUGACUUUGAAAUCACUAAGUAUAUAAUAGGAGAAUAGACUACUUCAACUCUUUUUAAUAUGUUGAUUUGUUUGUUUCAAAUAUCAACUCCAAGAAAUUACUUAAACAAGAGCCAUAUCAAAUUAAAAGCAGCUUAGAUCUUUGUUAACACACGCUUUACAAAGCCAAAAAAGCCAACAAUUAAAUAAUCUCAUUAUUCUGAUUCUGAUCCUACAAUUUGCUAUUAAAAACUUUUUUUUCAAUCAAACUAUAUGUUGAAUGUAUUUAGUAUUAUGAACAAUUUAAUUGAAAAAUCUAGCACGCUGCUUCAAUAUCAUAUUGCAUCUUAGUCUAAAAAUUUUCGUCCUCAAUAUCAUAUCUGAUGCAUUAUUUUUAUUAAAAAAAAUGAAAAAAAAAAAACCCAUACAAGUUUUAAUAAAAAUAAGAAAAUUAUCUGGGAACCAGUAAAAUGUAGAAAGUACAUGUAACCACCAAUGAUUUUUGACCGUAGCUCUCAACAACCUAUAGUUUGCAACUUGUAUAAGUCAACCACUGUUCUGAGAAUUCGGUUAACAUCUGUCAAUAAUAUUUUGUUAAAAGAUCAAUUUGCCUUUGAUAUUGUUUAAAUAUGUUGAAAAACAGUUUAAUUUAUCCAUUGAAGCAAGCUUCCAAAUUCGAAAAUUGAAAACAGUAGAUGUUUUUGAAGGCGAGAAAGAAAAAAAGAAAAGAAAAGGAAACCAGUUAACUAGGACAAAAAGAAAUAGAACAAGCUUGCGCUCGGUUAGCUAGAGAAUCUGUCAAGACGACAAUUCUAUAUUAAAUGAGUAAAUCAAACUUAUUGGCUAUUAUAACUAAACUAAACUAUUCUACUAGUUUUAGAAUAUAUGUGACAGCAUCAGUUCUUAUUGUUCCCUGUCAAUGAUUUCGGUUAACUUUAACAAUUGCAAAUUGCUGCCUUCAAUGCAAAGAUUCGGUUGGAGGUCAAGUAUGUUUAAUCUAUCGUAUUAAUUUUAAUAGUUUGAUGCAUGAAAUCAUGGAGGCGUUUGUUUACCUCUAACCUUAAUUUUGAUGCUCGGAGGAAACUACUUUGGAAGCCUGAUACAACCUUCCACAUUCAGCUGGAUCAACCGGAUUAUUUACGAGAAGGGCAGCCCAUCGAUGAGUCUAAUUGUGUGCAGCCCAUGAAGGAAGCCUCAUCACAAGUUGUAGUAGAAGUAGCUCGUGAGGAAGGGUAUACCAGCACAAGAGUGAGAAGACCCCUGGGUGGUUUAAAGAUUAUGUCGUAUAGUGAAAUUGAUAGAGCUUUAUAUUUUGCUGGUUUAUGUUGCUGUCAUAUUUUCUGUUACAAAGUUAUGCUGAACUGUAUUCUUUUAAAGGCCAACAGACAGAGGAGUAUAUGUAUAGCAUAACUAAUUCGUGCAAAAGGAAUGCAGAAUGAAUCAUUUCUUUUUAACUUUUCUCUAUUCUUCUCUCACUCUCCAUCUCUCUCCCCACUCUUGCUCAUCUUUGUGAAUUUCUUUUGGAGUCAGCCCUCACUCGAAGAGUGCCAAUUUAUCGAUACAACCUUGGUUGCAGAGAGGUGUAUCAGUGGUGCUUUCAUUGCUAUCGUUAUGACGGAUUCUGACCUUUUAAAGACGAUCCAAGAAUAGUUCCAGAGCCAAACAUUGUCCUCACAUCAAACGCUGCAACAGUAUAUGGCCACGGUGGAUUCUCGCCUUAAUGAUUUGCGUUCACAGAUCCAUGGGUCUUCCAAUCACUCGGGUCGGGUUCCUAAUCCACCACACCCAACCUCUUCUUCGACUGAGGUAAAUUCCAGUGGUAUUGAGCUGUCCCCUGUGCCCCGUUCUAUGAAGAUGGAGGUUCCUAAGUUUGAUGGAUCUGACCCAAACGGGUGGGUUUUUCGAAUUGAGGAAUUCUUUGAUUUCCACGGGACACCGGAAACUCUUCGUUUGCGAAUUGUUUCUUUUCAUAUGGAAGGACGGGCGUGAAAUAUAAGUGUGCAACCCAAGAGGGGGGGUGAAUUGGAAAUUUAAAAAUUAUCCUAGCAAAUCCACACAACAAGCAAUCUAAUGUCUUAAUAAAAAUUGAAAGCAAUAAGUUCAAUAAAGGCACAAUAAUUAAAAGAGUAAGGGAAGAGAAAAACGAACACAAUGAUUUUUACGUGGUUCGGCUAUCCCCGCCUACGUCCAUGCCUCCAAGCACACCGGGCUUGAGGAUUUCACUAUCCAAGCCUUUCCAAGGCUUCAACAAUUAUAAUUGACUUCGAGGUGUCAAUAAACCUUUACAACAAAGAGAUUAUCUCCCAAUCUCUUUACUCAAGUGUCUCACACACUCAAACUCUUACAAAUGAAAUGAAGAAAUGAAAGUUAUAAUCAAACUCACUCAAUGAGUAGAUAUUCAAAGAUGAAGAACAAUGAAUGAUUCAAUGUUUUGUGUUUUGCAAGUUGUAAGCUCAAGAUAUCAUGUGUGCCUUUUGUUUUUGCUUGUUGGAGAGCUUCAAAAUGAGUUGGAUUUGAGUUCUUAUAGCUUGAGCUCGAAAACUAGCCGUUACUCACAUUCUGGGCUAUCCGGUUUGCCGUUUUAUGGAAUCCGGUAAGCCGAAUUUAUGUUACCGUUUAGGCAAAAUUCAAAAUUUUGCCUAACCGGUUUGCCGGAUUCAGGAAUCCGGUAAGCCGUUUUCGUUUUGGUGCUUACUGCCCGUAUCCGGCUUGCCGUUUAUCAGUAUCCGGUAAGCCGCUUGCUACAGUAACUACUACAGUAAAAUAUUUCCCAAAAUUUACUGUUUGACCCCAAAACUUUAUAAAACUGUAGUAUAACCCAAAACGUUAUGAAACUUUUCAAAUAAGUCCAAUUUCAGAAUUUCUAAAUAAUUCUUCGUUAACCCCAAACUUUCUGAAAUUAUGACUUCGCCCAAACUUUGUGAAAUUAUAGAAUGGCCCAAAAAUAUUUAAAUAAUUUCAAAUAGGUCCAAAUUCGAAAUUUCAAGCACUACUUAUUUAUUUCAAAGUUUUCAAAAUUCUUUCAAUUAAACCAUAAACUUUGAAAAACAACCAAUUUCAUAAAAUCAUUUUUCCAUUAAAUAUGAAACAUUUAUAAUGUGAACAUAAUGAUUUAUUUAAAAAGAAUAAAAACAAUCAAUUUCAUAAAAUUAUUUUUCCAUUAAAUAUAAAACAUUUAUAAUAUGAAAAUAAUGAUUUAUUUAAAAAGAAUAUUAAAUAAUUUGAGCUUAAAAGAUUAAUCAUUCUUAAUCUUAUUUGUUAUCAUCAAAAUCAAUAUUAUGGAAACAUAUAUGUUAACAGAGCGGCAGCGUGGUAUCAAUGGAUGAAAAUGAACAGCUUGCUUACAACAUGGAAAGAAUUUUUGCAGAACCUUAAACAUCGUUUUGGUGCCUCCCUCUAUGACGAUCCUCAAGGAAAUUUGUCUAAGUUAUCCCAAACUACAACAGUGGCAGAAUUUCAGACCUCUUUUGAAGAUUUAAUGAAUCGCGUGACUGGAAUUUCAGAACCGCUUCUGAUAAGUUUUUUUAUCACGGGAUUGAAAUCCGAUAUUCGUCGUGAGUUACUUUUUGUUCGACCUUCUUCUCUAAUGGAAGCCUUUGCACUAGCUCGUGCCUAUAAAGCCUGUGCUGAAGAAGCCAAACAAGGACACCGUUUUUUGCCAAAAUGGAACACCAUGUCACCUACUCAUACCACAACAUUCCCGUUACCCAAAUUUCAGCCUAACACAUAUCUCAUUGCUUCAACCCAGCCUCACCAUUCCACUGGUAUGGCCCAAACCAUAUCUCACUCCCACAAUACUUCCCCACCCCCGAAACCAAACACAUUACCACCACUUCUACCCACGCCCAACUUACCGAUUCGCCGCCUUACUCCAGCAGAGCUACGUGACAAGCGUGAGAAUGGAUUGUGUUAUAACUGCGAUAAAAAAUAUAGUGCUAAUCAUCAUUGUCGCAGUAAGUUUUUGCUUCUCAUGGGUACUGAUGAUAAUGAACUUCCUUCUUGUGAACAAGAGUUGCCACCGGAUCCUGUCGAAUAGGUCAUAAUAGGGGAUAUUUCCAGUUUGAAUGCUUUGGCGGGUCAAAUCAAUCCCCGCUCACUCCGUUUAGUUGGCAAAGUUGGUUCUCACAGUUUUCAAGUAUUGAUCGAUAGCGGAAGUACCCACAACUUUAUCAAACCAGCAGUGGCAAAGCGUUUGGGCUUACCGAUACAGCCAACAGCAAAUUUCUGUGUUUAUAUUGGCAAUGGGGAUUUUCUAGUGUGCAAAUAUGUUUGCCCUCAAGUUGCUCUCACGAUGCAGGGAACAGUCUUCACUUUGGACCUCUUUGUUCUGCCCAUUGAGGGGCCUGAUGUGGUGUUGGGAAUACAAUGGCUGCAACUCUUGGGACGUGUCUCUCAUGAUUACUCUGCCCUCUCUAUGGAAUUUUGUUGGAAUGGGGCACCAGUGACUCUUCGCAGCGAACUAUCCACUACUCCCUCCCUAAUCACCUUUCAUCAGUUGCAAUCUCUAGUCCACAUUGCUGAUAUUUAUAGUUUGUGUGCUCUGCAACAGGUACCUGUACCCGGGGAGGAAUCGGAAAGCAAUCCCAAGAGUUCUUCCUUCGAAUUACCUCCACAUUUAACCACACCCUUUGUUGAUCUUCUACACACCUACCGCAACUUAUUUCUUCCACCUACUACCCUGCCACCACAUCGCACAAUUGAUCACAGAAUCCACCUCCUCCCCAACACCACUCCCAUAAAUGUGCGCACAUAUCGCUACCCCCAUUCCAAAAAAAUGAGAUGGAAAACUUGAUCCGUGAAAUGUUAGAACAAGGCAUCAUUAAACCAAGUCAAAGUCCAUUUUCGUCACCGGUCUUGUUGGUAAAAAAAAAAGAUGGGACCUAUCGUUUCUGUGUUGAUUAUAGGGCUUUGAAAGCCGCCACCAUUAAAGAUAAAUUCCCCAUUUCGACUAUCGACGAAUUAUUCGAUGAAUUAGGCGGGGCAGCAAUCUUUAGCAAGUUGGAUUUACGGGCUGGUUACCAUCAGAUUCGCGUGCACCACCGAGACAUUUAUAAAACGGCUUUUCGCACUCAUGAGGGCCAUUACGAGUUCCUCGUCAUGCCGUUUGGGUUAACAAACGCGCCUUCUAUCUUUUAAGCUACUAUGAACCAGAUUUUCGCUUCCUUUUUGCGUAAAUUUGUGAUUGUUUUUUUUUAUGACAUUUUGGUUUAUAGUGCUACAGCAGAGGAACAUUUGCGGCACCUUCAGCAAGUCUUGUGGUGCCUUCAUUUUCACCAAUUCUUUGUCAAGCUAUCCAAAUGCUUGUUUUGCCAAGACGCUAUCGAUUACCUGGGCCACAUUGUUUCAGUCUCUGGUGUGCGAGCCGAUCCUCAAAAAAUUGCAGUUAUGGUUCGUUGGCCAACUCCUCAGACUACUAAAAAACUUCGAGGUUUUUUGGGUUUGACAGGUUAUUACCGGCGGUUUAUCCGCGGAUAUGCAUCUUUAGCAACCCCACUUACUGAUUUGCUUUGUAAAGAUGCCUUCCAGUGGACACCAGCAGCAGCUGACGCAUUUGAAGCUCUUAAGAGAGUAAUGGUGGAAGCCUAUGUGUUACGGCUACCAGAUUUUGACUCCGACUUCAUUCUUGAGAUUGACGCCUCUAAUGUGGGUAUCGGGGCUAUGCUUAUGCAAUCGGGGCACCCCAUAUCUUAUUUCAGUAAGAAAUUAGGUCCUCGACUUCGGGCUUCUUCUACCUACAUCAAGGAAUUAACCGCUAUUGUUGAAGCGGUGCACAAAUGGCGACAAUACUUAUUGGGCAGAUUUUUUGUAAUUCGAACUGACCAUAAGAGCAUUAAGGAACUUCUCCAGCAGGUAGUUCAAACUCCGGAUCAGCAAGUCUACAUCAGAAAAUUACUAGGCUAUCACUUCCGCAUUGAGUAUAAAUCAGGUUGUACCAAUCUUGCAGCCGACGCCUUAUCACGAAUUCAUGACGAGGCUGGUGAGGUAACACCAACAGUGACUGCUUCUUGUUUUCCCCUCCUUAGUCACUCGUCGUUUGAGUUGUUAGCAACUCUAACAAUAGAUAAUUCCACACUUCUAGAAAUGAUUGAUCUUCAUCAGCAGUUUGCUGCGGGGUCUCUUUCACGGGAUUAUUCGCUGCAUAAUGGGGUCUUUUUUUAUCGCAAUCGUUACUAUAUGAGUCCAUCAUCAUCCUUGAAAGCAGUUCUAUUGGCUGAAUUCCACUCUACUACACUUGCAGGGCAUGUAGGCAUCAAACGCACGCUGGUCCGCUUGGCAUCUAAUUUUUUUUGGCCUAAAAUGCGUAUGGACGUUGAGCGAUUCGUGGCCGAAUGCCUUGUGUGCCAACAAACUAAAUAUUCUACUCAAGCACCAGCCGGUCCACUGCAGCCGCUUCCUAUCCCCACUUUAGUUUGGGACGAACUCACUAUGGAUUUCAUUACUGGCCUUCUAGUUUCCCGAGGUUUCACGGUGAUAUUAGUAGUGGUUGAUCGCCUUACGAAAUCAGCACACUUUGGAUCCCUGCUCACUCAAUUUACAGCAGUGAAGACUGCCGAAUUAUUCGUGGAUAUGGUAAUAAAGCUUCAUGGAUUUCCGACUUCUAUUAUUUCCGAUCGCGACCCUAUGUUCUUGAGCACUUUUUGGAAGAAGUUAUUUGAGUUAAGUGGCACUACCCUUCGACACAGUACAGCCUAUCACCCACAAACAGAUGGGUAAUCGGAGGUUGUCAAUCGCGGCUUUGAGCAAUAUCUUCGCGCUUUCACCCAAGACAAACCACACUCAUGGGUAUCUCUACUUGGGUGGGCUGAGUUUUCCUACAAUUCUACUUAUCACAGCAGCAUCAAAAUGUCUCAUUUUCAAGCUCUUUUUGGGCGACCACCUCCAGCAAUUCCUCCUUACUCGAAGGGCUCUACUUCAAUCCAAGCUCUUGAUAAAGCAUUAAGUGAACAGGAUGCCUUACUUCGUACCUUGAAAGAGAAUUUGCGUCAAGCUCAACAUGGCAUGAUUCAAAAGGCUAAUGCACAUAGACGCGAAGCUCAGUUUGCUGUUGGGGACCAGGUUCUAGUGAAGCUUCAGCCAUACCGCCAAAAUACAGUGGCAUCUCGUUCUUGUCAAAAGCUAGCUAAACGGUAUUAUGGCCCAUUUCCUGUACUCGCUCAAGUUGGCCCUGUAGCUUAUAAGCUUGCCUUGCCCAGUGGUUCCAAGAUUCAUCCAGUGUUUCACAUAUCACUUCUCAAACCCUUUCUUGGUUCUCAUACACCUGAUCACCAUUCCUUGCCAUCAACUAGUGUGGACAAUCAGCCAUUAUAUCUCCCUGCUGCAGUUUGCGCUAUUAGAACCGUGCUUAAACAAGGAACGAGAUGUCGCCAAAUUCUGGUUCAAUGGCAGGCCAGUUCGCCUGAAGAUUCUACUUGGGAAGAGUUCGACACCUUCUGUAAACUUUAUCCCGAUUUUCACCUUGAGGACAAGGUGGAUUUUGAAGCUGGAGGGGAUGAUACAACCUUCCACAUUCAGCUGGAUCAACCGGAUUAUUUACGAGAAGGGCAGCCCAUCGAUGAGUCUAAUUGUGUGCAGCCCAUGAAGGAAGCCUCGUCACAAGUUGAAGUAGAAGUAGCUCAUGAGGAAGGGUAUACCGGCACAAGAGUGAGAAGACCCCCUGGGUGGUUUAAAGACUAUGUCGUAUAGUGAAAUUGAUAGAGCUUUAUAUUUUGCUGGUUUAUGUUGCUGUCAUAUUUUCUGUUAUAAAGUUAUGCUGAGUUGUAUUCUUUUAAAGGCCAAAAGACAGAGGAGUAUAUGUAUAGCAUAGCUAAUUCGUGCAAAAGGAAUGCAGAAUGAAUAAUUUCUUUUUAACUUUUCUCUAUUCUUCUCUCACUCUCCAUCUCUCUCCCCACUCUUGCUCAUCUUUGUGAAUUUCUUUGGAGUCAGCCCUCACUCGAAGAGUGCCAAUUUAUCGAUACAGCCUUGGUUGCAGAGAGGUGUAUCAAAGCCUUAUACAAAUUUUUAGCGUCUAAGCAUGAUCUCAAAUUUAUUUGGAGUUCGGCGGCUUCUAUCCAACUAAAGAAGUUAAAAUUUCCCAAAAUCUUCUGUCUCAUAACUUUUAUGGGCCAAAAAAAUCAAAUUAGAAAUUCGAUCACAUUCCCCACCUUGUUGAUUAUAAAAGGAUAGAGAUUAUAAAAUUAAUUUAAAUCUUGCUCACUCUCUACUUCUCAUAAAAAUAAAAUAUAAAAACUACAAAAAUUAAUUGAUAAAAAAUUAUUUUUUUCCCCUUGGCAUAAAAAGGUUGCAUAUUGCUCAGAUAACUAUUAGUUUGAACGCACAAAGAUUCAAGGGUGGAGAUUUUUUUACUUUCCAAUCCAAUGGACAGAACCCUCUAUUGUAGAAAUUUCCAUUUUCUCAUAGCAUACCGAUGAACUGACAGUGGAGAUCCUAGAAACUAAUAAGCAAGCAAGAGAAGACAAACAGAAAAGUGAAAAAAAAAAAAAAAAUCUCCUUUGAUCAUGCAUGUUAUUUGAUCAUGGCCAUUCUUAUAAUAUAAUUACAACAAAAUAAUUCUAAUAUGAAUACGAGUAAAAAGCUUUACGAGCCUGAUCACUGUAUCGAGGACAAGAAUAUUGACUUCUCGAGUGAAAGUCACACGCCAUCUAGGCACUCUUAAGGUACAUUUAAGAUUUAGGUUGGUAAAUUGUAACUUAAAAGUUGCAACACUAAAGUAUUUGGUAAACACUAACUGCUAUAACUUGUAAGCUAUGUUGAUAUGAUUUUUCACUUGUAUAAUAAAAAUUAUUAUAUCUUUAAUAAUUUUGUCAAAAUUAUUAUGUAAAAUUUAUAUUUACUAUAUAUUAUUAAGUUUUGUUUGAUAGUUAUAGUUGUUUUCUACAGCAGCAGUAGCUUAAAAGGUACAACACAUCAAUCCUAAAUGAACCUUAGCAUCAUAGUUGUGCAGCUGUAGCUUCGGUUAUAGUACUUGUGUUUGGUUUGAAGAAAUGAAAGAAAAUAAGAUGAGAGAAAAGGAGGAGAGGGUAAAUAAAUAAGGAGAAAAAAAGAUGAAUUUUGUGUCAAAAUAAACAAUAAAAUUGAGAUUGAUUUUUUUUUUUAACCUCAUUUCCUCUUGAGCAUAUAUGUUGGACUUAUAAAUUUAUGUUUGGAUGUAAAUUGUUUGAUAAAUUCCUAUUGUUGUGGUUUGGAAAUUAGGUUAAUUUGAUUUAACAUUUAUAUAAUAAAUCACUUACAGUAUCUUUAUUAUAUUUUUAUCGAAACUUUUAUUUAAAAGUUAUAUUUAUUAUAUACUAAUAACUUUUAUUUCAUGAUGAUAGAUGCAACACUUCAAAACCAAAAUAAGACCAUAUAUUUUUAUAACUUCUCUUAUCAGAAUAUGAAUGUUGCUUGCACGCAUUAACAAUUCCACUAGUUGCCGGUUCAUAAUUAUCACGUCAACUCUUAAAAAAAGGGCGCACUGCCGGUUCAUAAUUAUCUGCACAAAGUACAUUAUUCUAGCAUUAAAUUUUAAAUAUCUUUCAGUGCCUUUAAAAAUUAAACAUUCAAACUACGUAGUUAUAUUGUCAGAAAGCCAAAACAAUGAGACGUUCUUUUUGGUUCAUUAUCUUUCCCGGUUGCAAAGGCCAGGUUACGUAACAAUUUAAAUAAUCUGUACGCGCUAUCCGAAUUCAGAAAGUCAACAAACCUCAUCGAUUUGCCAAUUCUUUGGCAUUAAUAUUUUACUUAAUUCAAAGUAAUGUUAAUCACGCUUUCAGGCUCCAAGGAUUAGAGGAGAAAAAAAAGAUGAAUUUUGUGUCAAAAUAAACAAUAAAAUUGAGAUUGAUUUUUUUUCUAACCUCAUUUCCUCUUGAGCAUAUAUGUUGGACUUAUAAAUUUAUGUUUGGAUGUAAAUUGUUUGAUAAAUUCCUAUUGUUGUGGUUUGGAAAUUAGGUUAAUUUGAUUUAACAUUUAUAUAAUAAAUCACUUACAGUAUCUUUAUUAUAUUUUUAUCGAAACUUUUAUUUAAAAGUUAUAUUUAUUAUAUACUAAUAACUUUUAUUUCAUGAUGAUAGAUGCAGCACUUCAAAACCAAAAUAAGACCAUAUAUUUUUAUAACUUCUCUUAUCAGAAUAUGAAUGUUGCUUGCACGCAUUAACAAUUCCACUAGUUGCCGGUUCAUAAUUAUCACGUCAACUCUUAAAAAAAGGGCGCACUGCCGGUUCAUAAUUAUCUGCACAAAGUACAUUAUUCUAGCAUUAAAUUUUAAAUAUCUUUCAGUGCCUUUAAAAAUUAAACAUUCAAACUACGUAGUUAUAUUGUCAGAAAGCCAAAACAAUGAGACGUUCUUUUUGGUUCAUUAUCUUUCCCGGUUGCAAAGGCCAGGUUACGUAACAAUUUAAAUAAUCUGUACGCGCUAUCCGAAUUCAGAAAGUCAACAAACCUCAUCGAUCUGCCAAUUCUUUGGCAUUAAUAUUUUACUUAAUUCAAAGUAAUGUUAAUCACGCUUUCAGGCUCCAAGGAUUAAUAUAAAUAGAUCCAUCAUCUUCCUUUAAAUCAACAACUAAAGACUACUUGCAGCCAUUAAUUGUGUAAAUUUAGAUUUUAAUCACAACCAUGAUUUCUUCUUCAUCAACGUCACUCAUUGGGCUGCUAUGCUGCCUGAUAGUGUUAUUGAUUCUCCCUUUCCCUUCCCAUGCAAGUGACCCUGAUCCUUUACAAGACAUCUGUGUUGCGGAUUUGAAUGCUUCCGGCUCUAUUAAUGGUUUCCCCUGCAAACCUGAGUCAGAAGUAACUUCUGAUGAUUUCUUCACGGAUUUUUCCAAAGAAGCAGCUACUUUUGAUGUCUUUAAACGUGGAGCUACACUCGGUGAUGUUUUUGGCUUUCCAGUGGUCAAUACUCAAGGAGUUUCACUCUUCCGAAUUGACUUGGGUGUCGGUGGAAUAAACCCGCCUCAUACACACCCUCGUGGAACCGAGGCUGGUAUUGUUACUAGAGGAAAGGUGCUCGUAGGUUUAGUAACAACUAAUAAUACCUUUUUCUCAAAGGUUUUGACUCCCGGGAUGGUAUUCUUAAUUCCUAGAGCAAUGAUUCACUUCCAACUAAAUGUUGGAAAAGGGCCGGCCACAUUUAUACCUAUUUUCAAUACUCAAAAUCCUGGCGUUUCGGACUCACUCACUACUCUUUUUGACACAACACCUCCAAUUCCCGAUGAAGUGUUAACCAAAUCUUUCCGAGUAAGUGAUGAAGUGAUUAAUGUGAUCAGAGCAG